This 46535-nucleotide long non-coding RNA is filed under the name Prunus persica (peach). RNAcentral describes it as "long non-coding RNA (PPER_LNC003799)". The record is from RNAcentral. Lineage: Eukaryota; Viridiplantae; Streptophyta; Magnoliopsida; Rosales; Rosaceae.
ACAUUGGUACUUUUCAUUGUUUGAGAAGUCACUACGAUAAGUCCCAUCUGUAUAAUCUGUUGAAAAGGUCAUAUUUUUUAUCAUGUUCGAUGAUGGCUCAUGUUUUGCAGUUGUCCUAUCAAUAGUAGUCUGUGGUAGACCAUUGCUGUCGGCGCGUACCCAACCUACCAUGUUGGUUCAAGCAAGGUUUGUGCAAUUUAUUAGCAAUUCUCCACCACCCCACAGUGCUUGGGACAAUCGCCAUGAGAGCGUGCUAGACUCUCAACCGUUAAUGCAUUGGAAUGGAAGUCAUCCGUGUUGAAUUGGCGAUGAUAAAAUAAAUAUCUAACUUGGAUGUAAACAAGCACAAGAAAACCCUUUUCGACCGAAAAAAAAACACUCUGAACCCUAGACAUCCCACCCAUGCUCACCCUUUUCAGCUCGAUGGUAUAACACCACCCAAAAAGGCCAAGUCCGGAUUCAGGCCCUCGCCUCAGCAAAUAUUAAACAAUGGUAUUAUAAUGCUAGUCCACAUCCAACUGAGCACUACACCAAAUCUCUCGACAUCCCCUCUUUGGUUAUGCAGAGACAGCCGAAUCAAAUCAUGUUAUCUUCGUCUUCCCUGUCUCUCAUCUAACCCUACAUUUAUUAAUGGCAACUUAUAAUGGGGGUUCCAACAACUGCUUAAACAAUUAUAAGCAGCUUCCCCGACACCUAAAUGCAGAGGCCUGUGACAACAUCAACUCAAGGAUGCUCCUUUAGUUACAUUCCGUGAACCUUGAUUACCACCAACUUCCAAGAUCUAAAAAGAGGUAAUUUGACUACUUGAGUUUGAAGAUAAAUUGACUUUAUCUAUAAACUUCCAAUCGAAUACAGACAUUAUACAAAUAAUGUGUUAAUUAUAAACACUCAGAGAAGUAGAAGCCAAAUUGUCAAUUUCUACAUUUCCAGAAUUUUGUGAUCAUCAAACCAGUGAAACUGACCCAAACACUAACAAUCGAACUCAAAGAUCAAAAUCAUUACUUUAAGGGGAAACAGUAACUUUAUAAACAUGGGCUGGAUGAUCUGCAACAAGAACUUGAUUGCCUCAUCAUGGUUCUCAAAGUAAACAAACAUAUAAAGAUCAAAAGACCAGCGAUAGAUACAUUAAAGGCUAUAUAAAAACAGAGUUCUCCAAAGAAGAACGAACAUGUAAUUUGACAGACUCGAGAGAAAAAAAAGAAAGGAAAAAAGUACUUUCCUACUCUGUUCUCUAGGCAAAAAAAAGAAAAAGAAAUAAAGAAAAUAUAUGUAGGUACAUAUAAGAUCAUCCUUUAUGGUUCCAGCUUCAAGGAAACAACCCGUGAUUGUCUGUUACGCUUUGCCACCUUGACAAAUACUACUGAGAGGCAAGAUGGAGCCCACCAUGGCCUGCGGACCUUUUGCUCCCCUUUCAGGCAAGCCACUGGACAUAAACUUGGUUUUAGCACACACACAGAUGGUAUCUAAAUGCAAUUCAAAUUUCAGAGGAAAAAGGCAUAUAUAUGUAGCUCAAGGGAAAUAUGAUUCCAGAAAGGUUUAAAUUCUCAGCUUGCUAGGAUAGAUAAUGAGAUCAAGAGAGAGUUUCACAAUGCUAUUGAAUGAGGCAUAAGAACGGUUUCUUAGUGUCAGCGUGCUAUGCUAUCAGUAGACAUUUGAGUGCAUGAAAUGAAUGGAUCAUGCAUGGCCAGUCUAUCUCACCAAUCCAUAUACUCUACAAAAACUCUCUUUUCUGUUUUACUUUUGGAAUAAUUAUAUUUUCCAAUAAUCAAAUGUCAUAUGUACCUGUGCAUAGAAAAUGCAACAGUAAGAUAAUCACAACCCUUAUUCAAAUCUAUUUAUCCAAUAACUCCAGAGACUAAAUGAAAUUUUUGAUAUAAGAACGAACACAAAGACAUUUUUUUCACAGCAUGAUAAAGACUGCUAGGAAAAUUUCUAGGCUACAGACCUUUAAUUCGCCUUAGUUCCUUACACAGCGUGAUAAAGUCUCCCCAUUUCAUGUGGCACCGUCUUAUAAACCGAAGAAUCUGCUCAGUAGUAAACAUUGACAUGCCUUCCAGGUAUUCUCCAUUGACUCCAUUUUCCUUAAAAGUUUGCCGGUAACUGCCGAGGUUUAUCUCUUCCAACCACAAACCGACAUCCUGUACGAAAGGGGAAAAUAAACAUGAGAAUACAUGUGGGUGAGCCAUGUAUCUUUAUAUUCGUUUUAUUAUAUAUGGCCAAAAAAUAUGUACAUGAGGCCUUCAUCAGGGCACAUGAUAAACUCAGGCUAUUAUUAAGUCACUGUUAUAAUAUAACAGUCCCUCCAACCCAAAAAUAAAAAUAAAAAAAACAAUAUUCACCCAAAUUUUUGUUCAGGACAACCUUAAACUUAGGGCAAUUUAAACUCUUUCUUUUGAGAUUAUCCGACUAGAGUUCAUCCAUAUCAAACGGCAUUACUUCACAUGGCAAAGAAAUGUUUUUGUCUGUAACUUGGCUGUGUUUAAUUUUAAUAUCAAUAAUCCCCUUUAGUCACAAAAUAUCUGUUCCCAGAGGUAAUCCUAAGAUUCCUAAGACCAAUAGUAAUGUGUUUGUCUCUUUAUUUUCACUGUAACGUACUUACUCAUAGCUACUAAUAGUUAGGUGGAGGCAUCUUUAGCACAACUUCAGAGUCAAAGACCACAUUCAAGCUUUAGCUCAUAGUUUUGUUCACUUGUGAAGUUGUUAAAAAAAAAAUUAUAAUCCAUUCAUCAUUCUAUGGACAGGGAAACAAUUUCCACACCCCAAGAUGAGGAGGGUCCUGACCAAGGGAAUAGCAACAGAUAAUACGGUAUUGCACUAACAACAAACGAUUGUUCUGUAUCAUAUUAGAAUCGUUUUAUAAAGUGACAAAGAGUCAAACGCCUGACACCUCAAGAACCAUAACUCAAAGAAAGAAGAUUGUGUCGAAUAAUAGUUGGAGGAGGAUGAAUUGAUGAGUGAAGGCAAUUAUUUCCUGUAGUAACAACAUGAGAUGGAUUCAAAUGAAACUGAUGAAUUUCCCAGCUUGCCAAGUAUGAAAGAUAAUUAGCAGAUUACAUGAAAAGUCUCCUCUAUUUCGAUUCAUUAAGUUGGUCUAUUUCACAAUAAUCAAAACUAAAACCUACCACUUGAUAACUGUUCCCCCAGUAACAACCCCAUCAAAAAGAAAAUACAUCACAAGAUGUUAAAAAAAACCCCAAAAUUUCAAAAAGUUAAUACAUACAAACACACAUAUAUACAAAGCCUAACUCAAAGAGAAACAGAUGUAUGAGCUAGCAAUAAAUUAACAAAAAAAAUGAAGUCAAAAUCAGAUGUCCCAAACAACAAUUCUCCAGUAACAACGCACAAGAUCUACUUGAUUGAAUGAGAAAUAUCCAAAAACAAGGACAGAAAAAGAGAAAAAGAGACUGAAAAUUGGUUACCUCAACAGUCCAAAUGAAGAAAUCAAGAGGCUCUGGUGGGUGUUCUUUGCUCAUCUCCCUCAUCAUAACGCCUUUUCAAGACCUUCAAAUCAUUCACAACCCAAACACACUCUCAGUCACAGAGACGACACAAAGAGUAAAGAGCUUAAAAAUAAAAUUUCACAAAAAAUAAAAUAAAUAAAUAACAGCUUGGUCUAAGACUAGUGGCAGUUACUGCGAUCCGAAUUUUCUUCGUUUUUUUUUCUUUUUCUUUUGUUCGUUGUAUUUUCUGGGAGACCAAACAGAAAGUUAGAGAAAGCUGGAUUGGGACUUACCGUGCGGAAGGUGAGUGACAAUUUUGAGGGUAUAAAUUCUCUACAUUUGUUUCAGAGCUUAAAGAGAGAGAAAGUAAGAAGAAGUCUGAAACUGAUGACUCAUUUGCUUUCUUGCCCACUCUUUUUUUCUGUCUCUUAAUGGAGUUGAUGGGCCUCCAUUUUUCUCCUUUAUUUUCCCUUUUAAUUUCUCUUAAUUAUCAUUGCUAAAUUUCAUAUAAUAACACUAAAUUACAUUUUUAUCCAUAUAAAUAUUGUAUCGGAUUGCAAAGCGAUACUGGGGAGAAGGAACCCAACACACAUCUCAUAUGCAAAAGUUAAUACUAUUAAUCGCUUUAGCUACGUGUCCUUCACAAUCCAUUUAAAUUUUUACUAGUAUCUCAAUUGUGAAGAACAUAUAUUCGUGAACGUAAAUCGAAAUACUAGUAAGACUAAAUUCAUUUGAAUUCUAAACCAUAAAAGGUUAUAAUUGUAAACGUCAAAGUGAAAUGAGAUCAAAACAAUUGGAAAUAAAACCCUAAUUUAGCCAAGGAGAAAUUCUCAUUAGUACCCCUUAAGGUAACUUAUAAAUUUGGUUGGUAAAUAAUUUAAUAUUUUAUUUUGGUUCAAUGCAUGUCAAAUCAUAGAGUAAUUGGUUAUUAAUAAUACACCUUAUGACGUUUACUAUAAUAACUUUGUCUUAAUUAUUUUGGGACCAUUAUGAAAUUAUUACUAAACCAGCUUCAAUUAAGGUGCAUGUUUGGGCCCACGUGGGCCGGCCUGAGUUCGAUUGAACUGGAAGACUACGAAGGCGACAAGUUGGACCGACCAAAUCGAAACCAUGCAGACGGUCAAUGAAUCUUAUGGUCAUCAGAUCGUACGGUCGUGACGGGAGUUUCUUUGAAGCUACAGUGAACAGCUACAUGUGCAACACGUGUCCAUACCGUCGCUUACGUUGCGCUAUCAUUGUCCCUGGACCACAUACCAAAUAAUAACCCUAAAUCAGUAAUUAGAAUUACAUCACUUCCUUCUUUUAGGUGUUUAUUAUAUUGUCACUUGUUGUCUCUCCUUUUGAUCUUGCACCCACUUUUUACUGACUUUUUAUUACAAAUGUACGUAUGCACCCCAAAGAUUACAAAAAUAACUUUUCUUACCUCUUUUGUAUUUUUUUGAUGUAAAUUACUGUAAUAUAAGGGAAAAUUUGAAUUCGGGUAUAAGGAGACGAGCACUCUCCUGACAAAAGUAGUCAAUGUUGUUUUACUUAUAACUCAUUAUUUCUAUAGUUAGUUAAGAUUUUGUAUUAAUAUAAACCUUAGUGUUAUUACAAGAUAUAGUUAUCAAUAUGGAUUGGGUAUGUGUAUCAAUGUGGACCGACAAUGGGGCCAAUUCAAGAGGUGGGUUAAACAAGACCUUCUUAAUAUGCUCCUAUGGACCUAAUCCAUACUAUAUAUAUAGCAAGGGCAUGACUCAUGAGGGAAGACAAAAGGGACCCAACUUAAAAAGAGCCCAAUUUUAUAGUGACAUAACAUAUAUUGAAAUGCAGUCUCGAUCUUUUGGACUACAAGAGUUCAAGAGAUUGUGGUCACCCACCGUUGGAUAUUAAUCCAACGGUUGAAAAAAGUUUUUUAAAAGGAGUGCAAGAGUGAGUGAACCAUUGAAUUUACAUCCAAUGGUGAGUGACCACAAAUCUCUUGGACCACUGUAGUCCAAGAGAUCAGGACUGUAUGGAAAUGUAUGAAUGAUUUUUUUUAUUUUAUUAUAAUUUUAAUACAAGCGAUAUUUUAAAUUACAAGAAUGAAGGAAGUUCUUCACACAUGUUACCAAUUCCAACUUGAGACCGUGAUUUGCAAAUCAAUAUAUUUUUUCACUCAACUAAACUCCGUUGACGUGGACAUUUUUUUUGUAGUGUUGUGCUGUGUAAUGGUUAAUCUUACAUUGUUAGAUUUAUAUAUUGUUAAAACAUGCUUUGAUCUAAUGGCUUAAAUUUGUGUAAAGGUGUUGGGCCCACCACCAUUAGUAUUGCUACACACGUCCUAAAGUCGUGAGGUCGCCCACACCGGAUCACCCCGUCGUCAAAUUUCCUCUCUCACUCGAGAGCCAGGACAAUUCAAGCGCUCGCAUUUUCCGUUUUUUCAGCUCCGUGUAUCCCUAAACCCAAAACCCCCAAAUUUUCCCUCCCUUUUUUCUCUGCGAGCAAAAGCCAAACAAAUGUUCUCACCAGGAACUAAGCGAUCCAAUGUGAACCCUCGUCGGGACCCAGGAUCUCCGGCCACUCCUCUCGUCGAGAACCGGCGAUCUGUUUCCGAUAACCCGGUCCCGAACCGGCCCAGUACCGGAACUCCGGCUCCCUGGGCUCCUCGCUUAUCUGUUCUCGCCAGGUACUCGUCUAAUUUAUCAUGCAUUCGUUCUUUGAAUUGCUGAAAUGAGUUCGUCGGUUCUGCAUGUGAGCUUAAUUGUUGGUUUUAAUUGGAUAUGGUAAUUGGAGAGUUGGGUUGGUGAAUGUAAGGGCUGAUUUUCAAUCGUUUGUGUUGUUUUGUGUUUGGUUAGAGUUUUACCAGCGAACCAAAGUGAGAAAGGGGAUGAAAUUAAGCCUGUAUAUGUUGGAGAGUUUCCCCAAGUUGUUCGUGAUGAACAGGCCAGUAUGGUCCAGAAGCAUGUUCAUGGUUAGUAGGGUUUACUCCAUGAGCUUGGUUGUUGAAUGAAAUGACUAACUGUAGAAUGGUAUCCGAUGUUUUCUCUUCUUUUUUUUUCGUCUUGCAGGUGAUACAUAUGUAUCUGGUGGAAUGGAGAGGGGAACAUCUUUGGCAUGGAUUAUAUGCGGAAACAGACUCUUCGUGUGGAGUUAUCUGUCUCCUGCAGCAUCGAUCAAUUGCAUUGUUCUUGAAAUCCCUGCAAAAGUUUUUGAAGGUGGGGAUGUGGGCAGAAGUGGUGGGAACUGUUGGUUGCUUUGUGUUGUCAAUUGGGAUAGCACGUCUACAAGAACAAAGAAAGUUGUUAAACACUGUAGCUCUGCUGGUAUUGUAUUGUGUAACAAAAAAACUCGAGCUGCGGUGUACUGGCCUGACAUUUAUGCUGAAGGCAGAACUGCCCCCGUUGUUAGUGUUGCAUCUUCUGAUGAAUUGGAGGCAAAUUCUUCGCCUAUUGAUAGGAAGACCACCCCAAAGCGACAGCAACUAAAUAUGCGGCACAGGAGUAGUUUGACUGGGUUUUGUACAUUUAACUCUUUGAUUGCUUCUGCAGUCCCUGAUUCCCAGAAUAUGUGUGUUGCGCUUGCCUGUAGUUCAGAUGGCGAGCUAUGGCAGUUUCAUUGCAGCCCAUCUGGUGUUAGCCGUAAGAAAGUAUAUAGGGACAAUCAGACUCUUUCCUCCCAAGGGGGUGACAAUGGUCAAAACCUAGGGAGCAAGGGUUAUCCAAGGUCACUGACCUGGUGUGUUCCAAGUCUUCCUAUGCAGGAAUCUAACAGGCUGUUUGUUCUUCUGACAGAUCAUCAUAUUCAAUGUUUUAAUGUUGAACUUUGUGAUGAAUUUGUUGUGUCAAAACUCUGGUCUCAUGAGAUUAUUGGCUCAGAUGGGGAUCUGGGCAUUAAGAAAGAUUUGGCUGGGCAGAAGCAAAUCUGGCCUCUCGAUAUGCAGGUGGACUAUCAUGGUAAAGUGACUACCAUUCUGGUUGCUACCUUCUGCGUGGACCGGGGUAGUGGUUCAAGCUACACACAGUAUUCUCUUUUGACUAUGCAAUAUAAAUCUGGAAUGAGUGUGGAGCCUACCCAUGAAAGAGUUUUAGAGAAAAAAGCACCUGUGCAAGUGAUAAUCCCAAAAGCAAGAGUAGAAAAUGAAGACUUCUUAUUCUCCAUGAGACUGCGGGUAGGGGGAAAGCCUUCAGGAUCAGCAAUCAUCCUUUCUGGUGAUGGAACAGCAACAGUAUCUCAUUAUUUUAGAAACUCUACAAGGCUCUAUAAAUUUGACCUACCUUAUGAUGCUGGAAAGGUUCUAGAUGCUUCAAUUCUUCCGUCUACAGAUGAUGGUGAAGAAGGGGCAUGGGUUGUACUCACUGAGAAGGCAGGAAUAUGGGCAAUACCUGAGAAGGCUGUUAUACUUGGUGGGGUUGAACCUCCUGAACGAAGUUUGUCACGUAAAGGUAGCUCAAAUGAAGGAUCUGCACAAGAAGAGAGAAAAAACCUUACAUUUGCAGGCAAUUUUGCUCCUAGAAGGGCUAGUUCUGAAGCAUGGGAUGCUGGAGAUAGACAAAGGGCUAUGACUGUAAGUGCGCGUCAAACUGCCCAAGAUGAAGAAUCAGAAACUUUACUGAGCCAGCUUUUCCAUGAUUAUCUUUUAUCUGGGCAAGUUGGUGCCUCGUUUGAAAAGUUAAAAAAUUCAGGGGCAUUUGAUAGGGACAGAGAGACAAAUGUUUUUGCGCGAAUGAGCAGAUCAAUUGUUGACACUUUAGCUAAACACUGGACAACAACUAGAGGAGCCGAGAUUCUGGCAAUGGCUGUAGUAUCCUCCCAACUCAUGGAUAAGCAACAGAAACAUACAAAAUUUCUCCAGUUUCUUGCUUUAUCCAAAAGUCAUGAGGAGCUGUGUUCGAGACAGAGUAUGCCCUCAUGCCUAUUAUAUUUGCAAUGUUUUAUCAUUUGAUGUCAAAUCCUUUCCAAUUGACAUGGCAUAUGUUGAAACUUGAAAGUUCAUGCAUGCAACAGUGUAGGUAUAGCAUGCAUUUACUUCCACGCGUGCUUAUCUAACCCACUGCACUCAAUCAAUUUCUUUUAGGUUGUCAGAUAUUAACACAUAAAGUUAUAAUUCGUUACCGGAGUUUAAUUUAUCAAAAAUAUGAUUUUCAGGGAAUUUUUUCUUUUUGGUGCUGUGCUCAUUUGAUAAUUUUGUCAUCAGAGUAUCUAUUGGAUGCACGGAGUAUAUUAAUUAGUGUCUAGAUGACAAUAUUUCCUAAGGUGUCCUAUCAUGGGGGUAGAAGGCCUUUUGAGGAGUAUAUUGAUUUGAGGUUCAGUGGGGUGCUGUUGACCAACUAAAUUAUGGUUUUUUGUUUCCUUUUUGGCAGGAAAUUCUUUGCAAAUUAUCUUGGAGCAUGGUGAAAAGCUUGCUGGAAUGAUUCAACUAAGGGAAUUGCAGAACAUUAUUAGCCAAAACCGCUCUAGUGGACUUAACUCCUCCCAUUCUAGUCCAGAAAAUCAAAUAUCAGGUGCUCUCUGGGAUCUCAUUCAAUUAGUUGGUGAGAGAGCCCGCCAGAAUACUGUUCUUCUGAUGGAUAGGGAUAAUGCUGAAGUCUUUUACAGUAAAGUUUCUGAUCUUGAACAAGUGUUCUCUUGCUUAGACAAACAGCUAGAGUAUGUAAUAAAUGCAGAGCAGCCAUUUGGGAUUCAGGUCCAGAGAGCUUGUGAACUGUCAAAUGCAUGUGUUACUAUAGUUCGUACAGCCAUGCAAUACAGAAGUGAGCAUCACUUGUGGUAUCCGCCACCUGAGCGCUUAACACCUUGGUAUUGUCUAGCUGUGGUGCGCAAUGGGAUGUGGCACCUCGCUUCCUUCAUGCUGCAGCUGUUAAAGGAGGCAUCUCAACUUGAUGUGUCUGCAAAAUCAGAUUUAUAUACUCAUCUAGAAGUGCUGGCUGAAGUUCUGCUUGAGGCAUAUGCUGGUGCUGUCACAGCUAAAAUUGAACUAGGAGAUGAACACAAAGGCUUAUUAGAUGAGUAUUGGAAUAGGAGGGAUGCACUCCUAGACUCGCUUUAUCAACAAAUCAAAGAGUUUGUGGAAGUUGGGCAUCAGGUAUUCUUUGUUUAUUACUAUUAUUGUUUAAAUUUUAUUUUAGCUCAACGGUAUCUCUUUGUGAUUGUGAUCCUGGUGCUGGAUAAGUAUGCAUCUUUGAAUUUAUUGUCUUAGCAGAAUUUAAAUGAAGGAACUGAUGAUCUAAAUGAAGAAAUUCUUGCGAAGCUUUCGUCAUGUUUGCUGCCCAUGGCAAAACGGCAUGAAUGCUACAGUACUUUAUGGAAAAUAUGCUGUGACCUGAAUGAUUCUGGACUACUAAGAAAUCUGAUGGUAUGACAGUUAUAAUUUCUUCGGCUUGUUACUUGUUUAUUUUCAUUUGUUUUCUGAAACUUAUGGAAUGGUUUCUCUGUUGGAAAGGUUGUUCUGUGCUAGUGUGUAGUAUUAGUCCGUUGGAAUUCAUUUAACCAUUGAAGCAUAGUAACCUGCGUUGGUUGUUUCUUGAAGCUCUUCCUCUUAAUGGUGCCACAGUUCUGAACGUUUACUUUGAAGCUGUUCUCUUCUAAUUAGAAUAAUUCUUCUGCAACUUUUUUCAUCAUUUCAAUGUUUAGUCCUACUUAGAAGUUUGUUAUUUUUAAGGAUUUCAUUAUUAUGUUUCUGUUUAAACUUAAAAACAUAGGUUUUCUCUUGAUCAUUUGCUUCGAAGAUAUUGUUUGAUGUGAUUUCUGUUUUCUCUUGUUUUCUUGUCUUAUUAGAUGUCUCCUUCGUUUUCUGAAAAUGAUUUGUUAUAUAGCAUGACAGCAGGGGACCUAAUGGAGGGUUCAGUUACUUUGUGUUCAAACAACUUUAUCUAAGGAGACAACUUUCCAAACUGCUUAGGCUUGGGGAAGAGUUUCCUGAAGAGUUAUCCAUAUUUUUAAAGUAUCAUCAAGAUCUUCUGUGGCUUCAUGAAGUGUUCCUUCAUCAAUUUUCUUCAGCUUCGGAAACUCUUCAUGAAUUAGCUCUUUCUCAAAAAGAAAGCUCAAUUUCAGAAGCUGAAGAGGGGACUGGUCCUGAGAAUCUGACUAUGUUACCGAAACUGGCAGACAGAAAGCGUUUUUUGAAUCUCUCAAAAAUAGCCGCAAUAGCAGGUAUGUUUUAUCCUUUGACUUUCCUUAAUAGUUUCUUCAUAUAAUUCCCCUCUUCUUGAGCGUUUUCUUGUUUUCUUUACACUGCAUACUCCAUAUGUUUUCUUAUUCUUUUAACUGUUAUUUAAAGAAAGUUUUAUUUUUAUUGCAAAAUCAAGUUGAUAUAGUAAUUUGUGCAAACCAUUAAGUCAAGCCACUUGAGGACUUCCCAUUUAAUGAGAAAUUGGUAAAUGCCUCUCUAGUAUAGCAAUCAAGGGUUGCUAGUUGUGAGAUAUAUUUUGGUUUCUGUGUUGUCUUGAUUUUUAUGAGUGGUUUUGUCAUCUAAAAGACCAAGUCAAACUUCCGCAUGUUACGAAUUGCUACAUGGUUCACUGCUUUGGGGUGUUGGAAAUGCUAAUAUUUUUUUGGCAUGGGAAGAUAAGAACAUUACUUGGUAAUUUUAUUUGUUUUAUUUUAGCUUGAGCUAUACUGGUUAUUUAAGUGUUAUAUAGUUGUUUGCUUCAUUGGCAGGUAAGGAUGUUGAUUCUGAGACCAAAGUGAAGCGCAUUGAGGCUGAUUUAAGGAUUCUAAAGUUGCAGGUCUGUUGUGUUUUAAAACAAAUUUAAUUGCCAUUUUUGUUUUUAGUUGAAGGGUCUUCCCGAUUAUUUUUCCUUUUUAAGAGCUUUCGUUAUUUGGGUAUCAGAAUUGGCAAAUCAGUCUUGUAUUAUCAUGCCUUCAUUAAAAAGAAAAAAGAGAGAAAGGAUUCUGCUUUUUAUGAUUGGGUAUGGGUUAACAGGAACAAUUCAUGUGCCAUGUCUCUUGCCCCUUCCUCCCUUCCACCCUUCAUAUUCCACGGUUGGCGGCAGUUCCAUGAAAAUUUUCUUCCAGUCAUUGCACUUGCAUGAUUAGAGCCCAAAUUCUCAAUGGUGAUGGUGCAUUUUUAGUCAUUUGUAUUAAAUUGCAUGAGCAAUUAAAUCAAGCUUAGCAGCUUGAGAAGGUUGUGCCUUGUUCUCUUCAUAUGUCCUAAUUGAACAAGGCAUAUAUAACAGAAUUUUCCACCCCUCCCACUCUAAUUAUUAAGGUGGAAAGUAAUUUAUUUUAUUUUCAAGGAUAGGACUUUUGGAAAUCAGUAGUGAUCAAGCAAAGCCUUGAAUUAUGACUUAUUUUUUAACUCUUGAAUAUGAUGAAUCUCUUUCAACUAUGUACAUUCACUGUCAGUCUUCACCUGAUACAUCAUCUGUUGUUGCAGGAAGAAAUAAUAAACCUCCUUCCUGAUGAUGAAACAAAGCAAAGCCUUGACACAAAGCUACUUCAUCCAGAAGAUCUUAUCAAGCUGUGCCUUGAAGGUGAAAAAGGUGCAGAGCUGUCACUGCGAGCUUUCGAUGUAUUUGCAUGGACCAGCUCCUCCUUCCGUAAGACCCGUGCAAACCUUUUAGAGGAGUGCUGGAGAAAUGCUGCUGAUCAAGAUGAUUGGAGCAAACUCUAUCAGGCAUCGGUAUCUGAAGGGUGGAGUGAUGAGGAAACCUUGCAGAACUUGAAAGACACCGUGCUUUUCCAGGCAUCAAAUAGAUGUUAUGGACCAGAAGCUGAAACUUUUGGAGAAGGGUUCGACAAAGUGUUGUCACUGAGACAAGAAAUCGCGGAGCCUCCAAUCAUAAAGGAUUCAGUUUCUUCUGUGGAAGCAGUACUCAUGCAGCAUAAGGAUUAUUCAGAGGCAGGGAAGCUGAUGCUGACCGCGAUCAUGUUGGGUAGUUUACAGGACGAUAACAUAGAACAAGAAGGUCCUGUGCCAAUGGAAUGAGAGUCAGAUUAGUAUGAAUCAUGGUGAUGAGUUCCUGGAUGUGUCAUUGUUUUUUUUUUGUUGAUACACUGAGAUUCGUAGUGUACUAGUCGACAAGUUACAGCUAAAUUUUCUCUUUUCCUUUUUCUUUUUCUUUUCCCUUGUGAAAUUCUCCAACCAAGUUUAUACGAACAUUUGUCAGUCUACUCCGAUGCUUUACUGGUUGUCAGUUGUAAGAAUUUUCUAAGAAGGCGGCAAGUUUUCUUUUUAUAUAUAUAUAUGAACAAGGGAAUUGAACCUGGGAUUGGAAUCCGCAGUAAUUCAUGCAAGCAGUUGCAUUAUCGGCAAUUUCUGUCAAAUUUAAGAAUGCCUUUAGUUUUGCCUUUAGUUUUAAGGGAAAACAAAGCGUGACAAAAUCAGACCAAAAUUGAAGAAAUAAGAAGAAAAAAAGAGUGCAGUUUCGGCGUUUCUUUCUUUGCCGCGUUGCCUUCCAUUACCUCGAAAAUACAUCUAAAUUUCAAGAAAAAUAGAUUUAUUUUGAGGCGGAAAAAUGCAUGAUGAAUUUACCGGGAAAUACUACUGGUUUUGUUGAUGAAUUUCGUUGAAGUAGAAUGCUUUUCUUCUUCCUCUUCUUCCAUUGCCAACUACUUUUGCAUUCUAUUAAAGCCUCUUAUUUUUGGUCAAAAACUACUGCGGCAGGCAAGCCAAUGUGAAGAAGAAGAGGGUCCCCUGCCAAUGGAGCGACAGUCGGGGUUAGUAUUGAAUCAUGAUGUUGAGCUCUUGAAUCGAAUCUCUUUUUUGCUACUUCUAUAAUUAAUAAAAUAUUCAAAAAUGUAGAAAUGAGUUUAGCCAAGUUGGCUAGUGGAUGUGCUUCCCACUCUGCACUGACUUCGAAUUCCCCCACUCUUAGGUUUAUAUCAGUUCAAAGUAGAUUAUCGCUUGUAUAUAUUUUUUUAAAAAAAUAAAUUUUUUUUUUUCAAAAGUAAUUGAUCAUUUGUUUUCCUUUUUUGUUCUUCCCAUAUAAAAUUGCUCUAAAAGGAAAUAUUUGUAAGUUUACUCGUUAUCAUUUACUGAGCGAUUAUAUAUUUUGAAGUGGAUAUUUUAGGUUAUUCUUACAUAAAAAUUUUCUAGAUUCAUAAUUGUUUGGUUAUCCUAAAUGUGAAGAAAAAUGUUGUUCGAUAAAUAAAAUUGAAAAGAAGAUGCGGGUAAUCAAAUAACUAAAUAAUUUUCGAUUCUGCUCAUUUUUUAUAUGUUAAGUAAUUCUUGAAAGAGAACUUAAAAAUUGAAUGGUUUCGAUGCUCGAUUUACAGCCCAUAAAUAGGGUUUCCUUGUUUUCAUUUCCCUUGAAAGUGUUCAGCUCUACCUAUGGUUACUGUGUCAUACCAAUUUCCAAACUGUUGUUAUUUAUAUUAAUUUCUUUUAUACAAUAUCCAAAGUCUUGCCUCUAAUACAAAAUCUUUUUCCGUAGGGUUGGUGCUGAAUAUCUUGGUUUGGAAUUUUUAAAGAGGAUUAUUGAACAAGACGACCCCAAAACGAAAUGAACAACACUAAUCUAUUUGUUAGUGGUUACUUAGACUAAUUAAGUAAAAUAAUGAAUAUUCGUUAAUAUACUAGACAAGACAAGCAAGUCAAGUACUUUGCACUACAGACCAAAGCAAAGACUCGUGUAGCUUUUGUUAUGUUUGGAGACUUUUUACAUUAUCUCUAUUAUUUUUUUUAUUCCGACCACAUGACGUGCUACUAUGCAUGAAUAAAUAUCAUUUGAGAACAAGCAAGCCUCAUUGACUUCUUACACCAAAUACUAAAUACAUUUCUUGCUCGUUUGUGAUUUCUUGUUUAGGAAGGACUUUUGUUUAUUAGCGCUUUUAUUAUAAAAUAUUAAAAAUUUUAUAAGAAAUUUCAGUGCUUUCUAGAAAAUCAUUUUGAAGUGAUUCAUGAAGAAGCUCAUAGCAAAUGCUUCUCCAUAAAGUGCUUUUAUGACCCAUAAGUGCUUUUAUUUAUUUUUAAUUUUAUCAAACGUUGUUGUUGUCACCAAAAAUGUGUCGUUUUAAAUUUAUAAAUACUUGCAAGCACACGAAUCGGAUAUAGUAUAGAUGUGUAAGAACCAGGUCGUACCCAUAAAGAUUGAGUGAAAAAUAUAGAAAACUAAUUAAACCCAAGUUAAUUUUAUUGCCAACCUAGUUGAAUCAAAUGGUGAUUUGUUCGUUGAUAAAGAAAAUUAAAUAAAGCAAAAAAAAAUGGAAAUUAAAAUAGAGAUUAAAUUAAUGAGAAAAGUAACUAAGGUAUUAGAAUCCACACCACUAUUUCAUAAAACUCUAAUUAUUUACCUGUUAAUUUCCACGCUGAGUAGCAAUCUAGAAGUCAACCUAUUACUUUCUCAAGAUAUAUCAUUUAGGCCCUUUAAUGAAUCUUUUUGUAAAUUCCCCUUCCCUUCAUUAGUACAAAUUCUAAGCAUCGCAUGUAAACAAAAUUUUUUUAACUACGAAGGAUCAAAGUUUCCUAAGCAUCCUAGGUGAAAAAGGUUAUUUGAAUGACAAGAGAUCAAAGAAAUUUGGAUACUAAAAAUACAAAACCAAGGAUGUAUUAAUAAAUCAACCCAAAUUCUUAACUACCACAAAUACACGAUAGAAGUGGUGAAAAGAAAGUUAAUCUACUAAUCAUGUGAAGUGGAAAUUAUAAACAUUGAAUAAUUUACUUCGGAAACUAGAAGAUAAAAACUAGAACUUCAUUUUAUAAUGAUGUUUCAUUAUUAACAAAAUUUAACUAGACAUAAAUAAAAUAACAAAAUAAUUACAAGAUAAAAACUAAAGUGGAAAUGAAAAAGGGAAAAUUGCAUCAUUAACCCUUUGGAUCCUUGCCUGUCGGCUCCCCAAGGUUCUCUCCAAUUCUAUCGCAUUUUCUCUCCUCUUUCUUUCUCUUUCUCUCUUUCCUUCUCUUUGCCGUGUAUCUCUUGGUACCUCACAUCUUUGCUCCAAGCUUUUAAUUAUAAUCAAAGUUUAGGAGCUUAAAUGAUAGAAUAAUCAAGAGAGAAUAAGAAUUCUGGUCUUAUCUAUGCACAUUACAAUAGAACACAAAGUGGCAAUAAUGUCAACUACACUUUUAUUUUAUUUUCUCUCUUUUGAGUGCCAAUUUUCCACAAUCCCGCGUGGCAAACGCGUAUAGAGACGAAGCCACACCACCACUCCCUCCCUCCCAGAAAAAAAUUUCACUACAAAACAAUACAAACAAAGAGAAAGAGGCUUACAUUACAUAAUGUCAUAAAACAAAAUAUGAAAAUAAAAAGAAGCUCCCUGUUGUACAUCAAAUUUAAUUUAUAAUCUCUAGGGAAAUUAAUUUUCUGGGUAAUUUACAAUGUGUAGUUUCCAGGUCGCUUCCUUUAUGGGGGCAAAAUUGUAAAAUGCAACAUAUCUCACGUCUAUAAAAAACCCCCAAUCAUCACUCAACUAAUCACACCUCAACCUCAUUUCCUCAUCCUAUUUCUAUCAUUAACUGCAGUGUCUUUCUUGACAUUAUUCAAUAAAUCCCAUGUUUGUUUUUUCUCUGCUACGCAUUAAUCUGGGGGAAAAGGCUAAUUUAAGUACUCUCCAAAGCCAGCACUCACCAAUUCCCUUUUCCGUGAAUCAAAUGAGGCCUAAUAUUUCAUUUUAGUCGCACAAAUUUCUUUGUGAGCUUUUUUGAAGCACUUUCCAAACCCAGCACUCAACAACUCCUUGAGCCUUCCUCAUUUAGUCAUAUACGUACGGUGAGUCCAAUAUUCCAUGCCAAAUCUUUUUUGAUCUUUUUUUUGAACAUUUUUUUUUGUCUGACCAUUUGUCUAAUUUUGUAGUUGCACCAAGAAACAUGUUCCUAGAGCCAAAAACAGAUGAUCAAGCUUCCGAAGGUGUGGGCAGCAGCACUAGCUUGCUCAUUCAAACCAUCAACACUUCUGGCCAAUACGUGCGGCGCAAGAGAUGGCUUAGAUAUAUUGCUCUAGGCGUUUUCAUCUCCUCACGCAGUAAGAAAACCAGAUUGCCCCAUGAAGCCCCUACCUAUGAACCUUUAGAAGCACCGGCACCACCGGCCCCUGCCUUUCAGCAUGCGAUUGACAUCCCUCUUCAGGACCGGUUUCUGAACAAGGUUGGUCGCAUUGUGAGAGAGAAGAACUUGAAUGCACUGCGAGGACUUGGUGGUGUUGCUGGCAUUUUGCCCCUUCUCAGUUCUCACUUUGAGGUAGCAAGCAAAUAAGUAGGAAAAACAAAAACAAAAAAAACAAAAAAAAACUUAAUAAUCUUAUACACUUGAUAAGGAAUGAUUGAGAAUGAUUGAACUUAACUUUGUUAAGUUAAUCAUAUUCGUUCUUUAUAUGACAGGAUGAUGGUGUUGAUGGUGGUCAAAAUCCACAAGGAUGGAACACGACCAAGUCCCCAGUUGAUGCAAAAAGCUUCUCCAACUUCUUGUUGAAGGCUUGCAAUCAAUAUACAGUUUUUUUCCUCUUACUCUCAGCAGGGUUUUCGUUUGCCAUUGAAUUCAUGAAGCAAGGAGUCAAACAAGGGUGGCACGACGGUGUUGCCAUACUCUUUGCGGUGUUCUUACUUGUUGCUUUCCCUUCAGUGGGGAACUACCUCCAUGAGAGAAAGCUGGUGAGGAAGCACCUGCUGGACAGGAGCAGACUGAUGGUGAAUGUUGAAAGGAGUAACAGAGAACCUACAUCAGUUAACAUAUCUAGUGUUGUGGUGGGCGAUAUAGUUCAUUUGAAGGAAGGAGACCGCGUCCCUGCCGAUGGUUUGUUCAUAGAUCAUGGUGAGGACUUGAUGUUGGAUGAGGUAUUGAACCCCAAAAUUGAUUGUCAACAAAACCCGUUUGUGUUGUCUGGUUCAAAGGUUAUUAAGGGGCAUGGUCGCAUGGUUGUGACAUGUAUUGGUGCCAAAACAGUUUUUGCUGAGAUGCACAGCUUGGGGACUAAUCAUAAUCCAAACGAAAAGACGCUGUUACAAGAUUUGUUGGACAAGCCAUUUGAUUGUAUGGAUUAUCUUGCGGUUUGUGUCUCUCUACUGAUUGCUCUCGUGGUGCUAAUACGGCUAUUAUUCUUCAGGAAGCAUGACAAUUACAAUGACAGGCCAGAACUGAAAGGGGAAGGUUCAAUGAACUUGGUAAUGAGGAUCUUUGAGAAAAUUUUCUUGAAACCUCAAGGACGGUUUUCCACUUUAGCAGGUGUUCUUGCAACCGCGGUGAUAGGGAUACAACAUGGAAUGCCUUUUGCGAUUACAGUUGCCCUUUGUCAAUAGAAGGAGAAGGUGGUCCAAAAUCAGGCAAAGCCUCAGAAUCUAUCAGCUUGUGUCACCAUGGGACUAAUAACAGUCAUCUGCAUAGAAACAACUGGUGAGCUAAUGUGUAGUCCGGGGGAGGUUAAGGAAUUUUGGAUGGGUGGAAAGGAUUUAUGCAGUGAUGAAGUGGACUCUGAAGCUGACCAAGUUGUUCUUGAAACACUGCAUCAGGGGAUUUCUGCUACCUCAUCCCCAACAAAAGAUUUGCUCAUUUCUUGGCUGAAGACCAGAUGGGGUGCUAACAUGGAGUUAUUGAAUGAAACAGGUAAUACCAUUGAGCAGAGACAAUUGAGCUCUGAUGAGAAAUGCAGUGGGAUUUUAGUGGAGAAAAUUGUGAACGAUGAACAAAUUCUGCAGUUGCACUGCAAUGGGGAUGCAUCAACAAUAUUACAUAAGUGUUCACAUUACAAUGAUAACAGAGGGGAAAGUAAAACUAUGAAAAACCAGAACAGAAGAUUUAAGCAGGUGAUUAAUAAAAUGGAGGAGAAUGGUCUUAGGCCCAUUGCAUUUGCUUACAAGAAAACAGAAGUCCAUGAAGUUACAGAAGAUGGGUUGAUUUUGUUGGCAAUCGUGGGCGUUAGACGCCCAUAUCAAGAAGAGCUUAAAUUGGCAGUCGAAGCUCUUAAAAGGGUUGGAGUAAGCAUCAAACUGGUGUCAGAGGAUGAGCUCUCAACAGUGAGAGCCAGGGCUUCACAACUUGGAAUCUCCCCCGGUUCAAAUGACAUGGAAAUUGAAGGAGAAGUUUUCCGAAGACUGAAUUCCAUGGAAAGGCAGGAUAAGAUGGAUAUGAUCUCUUUGAUGGGAAGGUCCCUCCCUAAGGACAAGUUUCUCAUGGUGGAUCGCUUAAGGAAAAAAGGUCACAUAGUUGCAUUCUAUGGAGGGUUGACCAUAAGCGACACUCCGACCUUAAAAGAAGCUGAUGUAGGAGUCAUAGAUGAUAUCCGGAGCACAGAAAUGGCUAGAGAGAAUGCUGAUCUUAUAGUUAGAAAUGUCUGUUUACUAGCCCCUAUUUGGAAGUCUGGUGCAUGUGCUUACCACAACAUUCAGCAAUUCUCUCAACUUCAGCUCACUGCUUGCAUAUCCGGGCUACUGAUAACCUUAGUGGCAACAAUGCAUUCCGGAGAGUCCCCGUUAUCCGCAGUUCACUUGAUUUGGGUGAACUUGAUUAUGUGCCUUCUUGGUGGCCUCAUGAUGGUGAUGGAGUUACGAGGCCCAGAACUACUCACUCAAAGACCUGCAAAGAGGACUGAGUCACUUAUAACACCAGUCAUUUGGAGAAACAUAGCAAUUCAAGUUUCAUCUCAGGCUUCUGUCUUGCUGAUCUUACAUUUCAUGGGAAAUGCAGUACCAAGCAUGGAUCAAGGCAUCCGGAAUACGAUGAUUUUCAAUACUUUCACCUUGUGCCAGGUCCUUAAUCUGUUGAGUGCCAUGCACUUGGUGAAGAAGGAAAUGCUACUAGUUGUCCUCCACAACUAUUGGUUUCUGAUGGCUUUGGGGGCUGUUUUGAUCAUGCAGGUGAUGAUUGUUGAGUUUGGAAAAGGGCUAGUUAGUGGUGCGAGGUUGAAUGCACUGCAAUGGUUGAUCUGUUUCCUUCUUGCUGCUCUUUCAUGGGGAUUUGAUUGGACCUUUAAAUUGCUUUCAGAUAGCAUCGAAAGAACAACUUCGGCAUUGAUGGUGAAUUCACAUGUGGGGUUCUCAAAUAGGAGGCGCAGAUUAUACAUUUCUAUUUGGUUGUUCCUGAUCUUCUCCGUAUCGUUGUUUUGUUUUCACCCAGUUUCUCAGCUCGCUAGCACAUAUAUCAGUUAAAUUGGAAGUCUCCCAUGGAAGUCUUAACAAAGUUAAUAAACCAUGUAGUCAUCUUGUGGUCUGUCUGUGUUCCUACUUGUUCUGCACAAUGCCAUCUCUAAAAUGUGAAUAAGUUAUUCUCCUGCCUUUUUACCAUGAGCCUUCGCGACAAUAGACCAGAAUGCUAAUAGAUAUUACAUUGUAGUUGAUCAUAGACAAUGUAGGUGAGCUUAUGUUAUUUACUCUUCGGGACAUUCUCCAAUAAGUAUUUAAAUUAAGGAUUAGUUACAUACUUCUAAUCUCGACUGUUGGAUUGCAUCUAAGAGAAUACGAACACAUUAAAUGAAUGCAAGCCAACAGCUAAGAUUAGAAGUAUGUAACCAAUCCUUAAAAUACUUUUUGGAGAAUCUCCCUUUCUGCCCUGCUAUGGUUUGCUGUUGUUUUGUCAAUACUGCGGCAAAUUAACCUUUUCACAGCAGCCAAGGAACAGUUCUAAUUUUAGAGGUUGGCGUUUUUUACCUCAAGCCUACAAAAACACCCAAGGAAAGUUUAUGCUUUCAUGAUUUCAUCAAUGGGGGCCUAUUAAAUAUUUGUCUUCUGGUUGGAGCUGGCAUGAACUUCUACAGUACAACUAAUCUUGUGGCCUGCGUUCACCAACCACAAAAAUUGCACCAAUUUGCCAGCCACGUGGCUAAGAGAUAACCUCUCUCUCACUAGAACAAUCAGUUUGGAAAUCUAAAUCCAAUUGAGAACCAAUAGAAUGUUGCUGAUGUGUAGAUAUCCUAAUCCACAACAUCUUCACAUUCCCGUUAUAACAUCCCAGCGCUCUAGUUGUCCAAGGCAUCUCAUUAGGCCUCACAACACCACCCCACUUCGAACAGGAGAGCAUAGUCAUGGCAACCUCUGCAAUCCAACAAUCAGCAUUUGCUGGCCAGACUGCUUUGAAGCAGUCAAAUGAGCUCAUCCGAAAGAUUGGCGGCCUUGGUGGCGGCCGCAUCACCAUGAGGCGCACCGUCAAAAGCACCCCCCAAAGCAUAUGGUAAGUACCUUGGCUCUAGCCUGUGAGAAUAAGAUAUUUUUUUCCAAGCAACUCUACUAAAACUUCCAUGUGUAUAGAUAUGGUCACUGAUACAUAUUACGCUAUUGGAGUAAAUUAAAGUAUCUAGUAGUAUUGAGAGUCAUGGAUUCGACGUAAACUUCUAAUCAAAAUGAUGUUUAGAUUACAAUGACAGAAUCUCUAACAAUCUAUUCUACCUCAAUGCAUAAAGUUACAGUGUUACAAGACCAACAUGCUCAACAUAGCAUUAGGAAGUUUACACCAUACCCAUACCUUUUAAAGCCAAGGCCUUGAGCUUAUUAUGCUAACCCUCUUCACUGUAAUUAACAAAACAGGUAUGGCCCAGACCGCCCAAAAUACUUGGGACCAUUCUCUGAGCAAACUCCAUCAUACUUGACUGGUGAAUUCCCUGGUGACUACGGAUGGGACACUGCUGGACUAUCCGCAGACCCUGAGACAUUUGCCAAAAACCGUGAGCUUGAGGUGAUCCACAGCCGAUGGGCCAUGCUUGGUGCACUGGGAUGUGUCUUCCCAGAAAUCCUGUCAAAGAAUGGUGUCAAGUUCGGCGAGGCUGUUUGGUUCAAGGCUGGAUCUCAAAUCUUCUCCGAGGGUGGCCUUGACUAUCUUGGCAACCCAAACCUUGUCCAUGCCCAGAGCAUCUUGGCAAUCUGGGCUGUCCAGGUUGUGCUCAUGGGAUUUGUCGAAGGAUACAGGGUUGGUGGAGGACCACUUGGUGAAGGACUGGAUCCACUUUACCCUGGAGGGGCCUUUGACCCACUUGGACUGGCUGAUGAUCCUGAGGCGUUUGCUGAACUGAAGGUGAAAGAGCUUAAGAAUGGGCGGCUGGCAAUGACUUCAAUGUUUGGAUUCUUUGUUCAGGCUAUUGUAACUGGAAAGGGCCCAGUUGAGAACCUAUAUGACCAUGUUGCUGAUCCAGUUGCCAACAAUGCAUGGGCUUAUGCCACCAACUUUGUCCCUGGAAAAUGAAGAAACCUAAAUGCAUGGCUGUUCAUAUGUAACAUUACCCGAACUUCUUGCCUUUGUUGAGGUUCUGUUGUUGUGGACUCCAUUAGUUCUGAUGUAAUCUUACUAGAAACUGCUUGUAUUGAAAUCACUUAUCCAGUAAAACCGCCCAGCUCCUUUGUGCUUGAACUCCUUAUUUGUCUAGAUGUGUUGAACAUUCAAAAGUUCCAGUCAACAAAUGCAUGCUUUGCUACAAUAUAGUAAAUCUAAACCAGAGAAUAAAUAUAUAACAACCAAAAUACAAGGGAAAAUAAAAAUUAAAACCAAAUCAUAUGAUUAUCAGAUUCAUCUUAGGUUUCUUCAUCUAUUCCUCCCCAUUAGGCAAAUUAAGUUUAACCAGCGCAUACAGAGAAUGUGGGAAAGAUUUCUGCAAACUUUUACCCACUGAACACUGGCUAUCAUCUCUAAUUUUAAUAUCAGCAUAAUGAAGACUGCCUAAGCUAUUAGUAUUACGGACACAUAGUAUAUGGAUUUGGCCAAUGCAGGGUGAAAGGAAUGAUGGGAAGAGCUAUCAUCUCUUACUAUAAUCUCAGUAUAAUGAAGAUUGCCCAAAUAGCUAAGGGCAGCCACAAUCCUGUUGCAAGAAAGGCUGUUUUGGGCUCUGGGCAAGCCAUACUGGUAUCGUGUCGAUAUAGAUGUCAACAUGUUUGUCAUAUGGAUGGUGAUAUGUUAUUUAUAUGGAUGUUGAUAUGUUGUCAGUGUGGAUGUCGAUAUGUUGUUGAGUAUCCCACUCCAGCUACAGUGGAGUGGGAUAUAUGUAUAUAAUAUUACACAAUAAGUGCCCACAAAGAGAAUGUACAAAACAAAGAGAAUCAGAGCACAAAGAGAAUGUAUGAAACAACAAAUUUGGAAAAUUUUCAGCAAACAAACUUUUGCCAACUGAAACUUUUCACAUGAUGGGAGGAGCUAUUAUCUUUCAGUAUAAUGAACAAUUCUUGUAGGGGUAACCAGUAUACAACGAAGAUUGCCUCUAAUACUAAGGGCACCUAGUGUACGAGCCUUCUGCCAAUGCAGGGUGAAAGAAGCGAUGGGAAUGACUAUUAUAUCUCACUGUCACUAUAAAUUCAGACUCUCUGUAUAAGAUAGCCUAUCUUGCACUAGUCUCUGGCCAAUUCAGCAUCUAGGGAGAGCAAGACCUAUGCAGUCAUAUCCCUGUAACAAGGGGGGCUGUUUUUGCUGGGGACAAUCAUUACAUCAAGAAACACCUUCAAGAAUGUCUAUACUGCUAAAUCUCAAAAGGAACACAAAGAAAUGCAUAAAAUCAGAAGAAAUGAUACCAGUGGCCAAUUUUAAGAGUGGAAGAAUAGAGGUAGAGGCAUUCUGAUGCUUAUUGCUUCGAGCAGAUCAACACAAGCGUCAAUGCAGCAGACAAACAAGUCAGUCACCAAAAAUCUUUGCAAGAACAUGACCCAUUUCUGAAAUGAUGGAAACGACUAUUAUCUCUCACAAUAAUCUCACGAUCAUAGAUACUGGAUAGGAGUUUAGUGACAGAGUGGCAAUCGUUACAGACACGAAGAUUCUUUAUAAUGCGAAUAGGACUCCCAGAUUCCAAAUUAAUAAGACCAUAUGCAAUAGCCAAUCUCUCGCUAUGGUUUUCCAAUUCAGCUUCCUUCUCUUUUUCCUCUUCAAGACACAACAGAACUUGACUUGUGUCAGGAACAUGUCCUUCGGAUUUCAGUUUCUCUCUCAUCUCAGUCAACUUAGAAUAUAUGUCUUUUGUCCGAGGAUGUGAUUUGUCACCGACAAUAAACCCAUGAAGCACACCUCUGUGCUCUAUGGAACUGCAUCCUGGGUCCUUUUUUACUCCUCUCUUUCUCAUAAUUUCUCUUACCUGUGAAACUUUCUCCCACUUAUCAGCCGCAGCAUACAUGUUAGAAAGAAGAACAUAGCAUCCAACAGUGUCUGGAGACACGUCAAUCAAAUGGCGAGCUGCAUAAUCACCAACUUCAACAUUUCCCUGGUUCCGAGCACCACUAAGCAAACUCAUCCAAAUUACUUUGUUUGGUUUCAUGGGCAUACCUUCAAUGACAUUCUUUGCCUCGUCCAGACAACCAGCGCGGCAUAAAAUGUCUACAAAACAACCAUAGUGUUCAAUUGUGGGUUCAAUUUCAUAAUCAUUUAUCAUCAGAUUGAAAUAGUAACGACCAAGAUCAACCAAUCCUGCAUGACUACAUGCAUUCAAGACUCCGAUAAAAGUUAUACUAUGAGGGCGCAUUCCAUUUUUGCGCAUCUCAAGGAAUAGCUCAAGAACCUGGUCGGCCAUACCAUGCAUUCCUAAACCAACAAUUAUAGCAGUCCAAUGCCCCAAUUUCUUCCUGUCUAUAGCUCGAAAUACAGCCAGAGCACUCUCUAUGCUCCCACACUUGGAAUACAAUUCUAUCAAUGAUGUACCAAGCACACCAUCUAAAUCAAAUCCAUGUUUUACCAUGAAAGAAUGUAUCCAUCUCCCCUUACUUAGAGUGGCUAAUCCUGAAACGGCAGAAAGAGCACUGACUAAUGUAGCAUGACUAGGCAUAAUAUCUUCUUCCAAAAUUUCCUGAAACAACUCCAAUGCUUCCAUAAACUGUCCAUUAAAUUCAUAACCUGCAAUCAUCGAAUUCCAAGUAAUUAUAUCUCUUGUUGGCAUCAGACCAAACAAUUGACGUGCCAUCUCAAAAUCUCCGGAUUUCAUGUAACCAUUAAUCAUGGCAUUCCAAGAAACCAAAUUUCUAUUUGGCAUCCUAUCAAAUAUCUCCCUAGCCAUCUCUACCUUCCCGCAUUUUGAUAACCCGUCAACUAAAACAGUCCACGAAAAAGAAUCUCUCUCCUGCAUUUGAUCAAACAAUUCCAUUGCAACUUCUACUUCUCCACAUCUCGCAUACCCAUCAAUCAAAGAAUUCCAAGUAACCAAAUCUCUAUCAAGCAUUUGAUCAAACACUUUCCUAGCCAAACCAAUCUCACCACACUUUGAGUAUAAACUAACCAAACUACUCUGCACAAACUUAUCCAAACCAAGCCCAAUUUUCAACACCAACCCAUGAAUCUGUUUCCCUUCCCCAAUCGCAUUUAACCGAGCACAACCCUUUAUCACACACGGUACAGUAAAAUUAUCCGGAACAAGUUCAUGAAGCAAUUCAUAGAACAAAACAAUAGCAUCAUGGGAACGUUGGUUCCCAACAUAGCAUUUGAUGAGAACGUUCCAGGAAACCAAGGUGGGUUCUUCAAUUUGAUCGAAGACGGAGCGAGCAGAGUCAAGAUUGUUGAUUUUGGGGUCUGCGUAGAGAGAUAAGAAACGGGAAGCAAUUGCUGGGUGGCUGAAAGUUCCGGUUUUGAGGGAUAUGGCGUGGUGUUGCUCUGCUUCUCGUUGGGUUUUACAGGUUUGGAGAAGCGAAAAGGGGAGGCUUUGAGGAGAGAGCAAUGGUUGAUGGAGAGAGUGAGAAGGCGUGAGUUGAAGCAUUGCUAUGGCUUUGGUGGAUCAGAUGAUUGACUGAAGGGCUCUGUGUGUGGCUUAUUAUAAAGGGAAAUAGCUCAAAAUAUCACCAAUUUUAUAAUUUUAUGUCAAAAUACCACCCCUUCUCAAAAAUUUUAAAACUAUGACCUAUAAAUACAUUUUUAUUGUAAAUUGAUUGCACCCAUAUCACAUUUUCAGAAAACCUGAGGGGAACUACGGGUUUAGAAUGACUUCGCCUCCGCCUCUUUUCUCGUUCGAUCGUCUACGGCCUCCGCUUCCUCUCUCCUUCGUUCUUCUACGCCCCUGCCUCCGCCUCUGCUUUUUCGAUUGUCUGCCUUCCUCCUCCUCCUCUGCUUUUUCGAUUGUCUACCUUCCUCCUCCUCCUCCUACUUGGCUCUUCUCCUUAGCUAUCAGCUAUUUCAUACCCAGAAGUGUUGGAUCCUGAGCAAGCAGUGAAAGGGCUAUCUGGUAAUCUAAUGACUAAUACUAUUAGUUGGAUAUGCUGUAUGUUUUCUCUUCAAAAUUCUAGAUUUAGUAGGGUUGGCAUACACUAUCAUGACCUGAUAUAUUUUCAGUCUGUUUUAAUUACUGGCUAUUAGGGUGUGGUUUGAAACUUUGACUGAUGGGGUGGGGGAGCUUGGACGGAGUUUUCUUAUUUUUGUGAAAUGGGUUUUGGAGGAUUAGGGAUUUUAGGGGAGUGUGUGAGUUCGCUGUUUUGGUGGAAGAUAUAUGCAGAAGGGUUAUGAUGAUGAUGGGGGUGGGUUUUUGUGUUUUGUUAAUUCUUUUGUUUGUCGGAAGAAGAAUGAGAUAUUUUUCCAACUCUUAUGAGUGAGUUGGGUUCAAAAGCAAUUAUUGUUGGUUUUAUAUUUUGAUUUAUUUGCAACUGUCUUUAUAGAAUUUAAUUUUUAAUAGUAAUAUAUGUAUUCUUCAUGAAUGGUUUUGCUCUGUUCAGGUGCGUCUGUCUACAUGGGUUUGUGCUUGAAGCAUAAUGCAAGUUUUGUUAAUAAAUUCUCUGUUUUAUGCUGUGCAGGUGUGAAUUGGAAUAAAUAAAAAAAAUUUGCUGGGUUUUUGAGACUUGUGAUGUUAUUCAUCAGUAUUCAUGCCUGGUUUCUUCUUGCAAUAAUUUUGUUGAUUGUGAGCUUUUCCCUCUAGCGCUUGUUGCUGAUACUGAUUGUGAAGGUGAAUUGGUUGUGCUUUAUGAUGUUUGAACCUCAUUUCUGUUUCUUCUCUUUCAUGCCAAUAGGUUGUAGGAAACUCCGCUCUCAAACAUAGGCAAUGAACAAUUGAGUUGACAUGCUGCUGGGAGAAUUGUUUGCAAUGCAGAGAAGACUUGUCUCUUACUUUUGUGAUGAUGAACUGGGUGAGAUUCUUUAAGAGUGAUGUGUCAUAUUUGAAUUUUUGAAUAUCAUAUUUUAGUUUUGUUUUUAAGUUUUGAACCUUGUUCUAUUUCAGCAUCCUAUAGACCUGUGUUAACUUAUAUCUACAUGUGAUAUGGAUAUAACUUAUGCUUUCAAAUUAAUUUGACUUGUGUUAUAUCUUGUUUCGUACCUUUGUUUCGAAAAUUUCUUUGUAAAGACCAAAAAGAAUAGUGUGUUUUUUUUUUUGGGUGGUAUUUUUGUUAAUGAUAAUUAUAGUAUUGAUUACUGGGUAGAGAAUGAGCUACAUUUUGUGCUUCAUGAAGUAAAAUGGCUGAGCAACUCAAAUUUGGUUUACACAACCAAGGCAAAAGGAAAAUACUAAUUUUGGAGCUUAUAUAUAGUGGUUAUAUAAGUUGCAGUUUUCGUUACUUGUAAAUCAUGAUUUCCUUAGCGUAUUUAAUUGCAUUGUGUUUCUCGUUUUGGGUAGAACAGAGUUUUCAAUGAUAGGAUUUAUUUGGAAAAAAGGAAUUCUGGUAGUUAUGCUGUGUUCUCUAUUUUUGCAUGAAAGUUGAAAGUAAGAUGUCCCCUUUAUAUGUGUGACAGCUUCAGGAUUAUGGCCUUCGUAUACUGAAGGGAAAUUGCUAUUUGAUCCUGUUAUAUCUUUUAUGGGACAAACAAAUGAGGGAAGUAGUGUUGAUUCAUCACAGAAAGCUGAGUCUUCAGAGCAUCCGCCAAAGGUUGACAAAUCAUCAGGGGAAUCUGAAUCUCCACAAAAACUCUCUACUGUUGAGGCAAAGGAAGGGGUCAAAAUAGAAACUUUACAACACUCUUCAACUGAACAGAUGGCUGAUAAGGAGGAAACUGAAGUUGUCAAGGAAGAAACAGAUGAUAAGCAUGCUGCGACGGUGGAGGAAACAAAGACAGUGAUAGCAGAGCCUGAAAAAUCUGAAUCUGAAUCAUCUUCACUGCCAGUUGAGCCCUUUGAACCCACUGUUAAGAAUGAUGGCCCAUCAGAAUCUGUGGGUUCUCAAGAUGACAACAAGAUUUCAGUAGUGGGACCCUCAGUAAAUCCAGAAACAAUGCAGGGUAAGUCAAGAGCUGUUGAGGUAGAUCAAGUUGAGGAGGGUCAUACUGUUCUCCGCGUGAGGCACAUGAUGUUGAUGUGGAUGAACAAAAGACACAGGUAGAGCAGAAGGAUGGACAUAUGACUCAGGCUGGAGAGAUUGUUGAAACAGUUGCUAUGGUUGAAGCUGAGACUCCAACUGAUAGCCAGCCUGGAGGUUUUCCUCUUUGCUAAUUUAGAAUCAUGUGCAGUUAUGAUUUUAGAUCUGUAGAUAACCUGUUGUUGCUGAUAUUGCUACACGGGAGGAGAACAGAACAACUUGGAAAAUGUGCAAGAAGGGAGAGCUAACUCAUACAACGAAGAACAAAUUGAUGAAGUUAAGAUCAAAUUAGUAGAAUUUGUGAGCUCUCCAUUAUUUAUAAUUAUAGGUAGGAAGUAUGUAUGUAAUAGAGCAAAGAUUGGUUGACUAUGUAAUAACAAUUGAAUUGUCAAGUUUUAUGAAAGAAAUAAUUUUUGCUUCUUGGGAUAGUAUUGUUAGGGUUCGGUGGCGAUUUAUUUUCCAUGUCUAAAUUGUAGUCUGUAAUGGAUGUGUGUGUAUUGUAUGUAGAUUGACUUAAUAUUGCUGUCCUAUUGCAUGUGUAUUGUACUAAUAUUGCCUGUGUAUUGUAUACAUAUUGUAUGCAUAUUGCCAUCGUAUUGCAUGUAUAUUGUAAUGCUAUUGCUAUCGUAUUGCCAUUAUAUUGCCCUAAUAUUGCCUCUCUAGUGUAUGUAUAUUGACUACGGCUCAUCAAUGGGUUUACGGUUUGGGCCAUAUUGCAUUUAAAAAUAAGACGAGGAGGAGAAAGAAACAACAUGCCUUUCAAAAACAGGCAGUCAGGUGCAUCAUAAUUGCAUCGUAAGACAUUGUAAGAAAUUAUUUUAAAAAAUAAUAACAACUAAAAAAUAAUUUACAAAAAAAGGAAGGUAUGAAUAAAGAGACAGAGAGCGAAUAAGGGGAGAAAGAGGCAGAACGAAGCUAGAGAGAGACAGAGAGAGAGCUGCGCUACAGAAAGAGAGCAAAGAGAGAGUUGCACUAGAGAGAGAGAGAGAGAGAGAGAGAGAGAGAGAGAGAGCCAAGAGAGAGAUAGAGAGCUGCGAUAGACAGAUACCAAAGAGAGAGAGAGAUGUGCUAGAGAGAGAGAGCCGAGUGAGCUAAGAGAGACAAAAUUUCUGAACAUGUGAAAAAUCAGCAAUAAGUGGACAAUAAUUAUAUUUUUAUAGGUGAUAUUGUAAUACUAUUGCUAUCGUAUUGUGGUUAUAUUGCUUUCAUAUUGCCUCUAUAGUGUACAUGUAUUGGCCUAAUAUUGCUAUCAUAUCGUAUGUCAAUGGCCAUUUGGUCUAAUAACAGAGUCUCCACUUCGUUGAAAAGUAAUCCUGAAUUCGAAUCUCAUGGACACGACAAUUGUUAUCCAUCCUUAUAUUAGCAUGAAUUGAUGUUGACCUUUGAAAUGAUAGUUGGAGUUGCACAUCGAUUCAUAUUCAAAAGGAAAGUAAUUCUCUCCCUCAAUGAAUCUUCGUUCAAAAGAAGGCAGCUAUCAAAUAUUGGUACAAAAAUGCAAGGUCCACAGUAAAUUAAUUGGACACAAACCACAUAUUACAAAACUAGGAUGAUUUUUGGCAUGCUUGAAAAGACAAGGGCCAAAUACAACAGAAAAGAAAAUCCAUUCAAGCUUCACACUAAACAUGGCUCAAGCACUCGACCAUGGUUUCAAUCCAAAACCUACCCAACAAGGGCAUACCACGUGUCCAUCAUAACAUAAUAGUGGCAUUUACAAAGCAUGAACUGCAAUAUGUUUCUUUUUCUCCUAAACAAAAUUGUUACUAAAAUGGAACAAAAGAUCCCUAACAUAGAGCAAUACAUGCAAAGAUAGUCAAUUGUCAUACACACAAAAUUAGUCCUCAUCCAUCCCUGCAUGCUGAUCUCUCUCACUAGGGCCACCUGCUGGUUUUGCCAUUAUAAUCUGCAAGAUAGUCAAAGCACUGUCAACAACCUUUUUUUAAUGAAGGUAUUAAACAUUAAAUAGGCUGCAAUCAGAUGGAUUCAUCAUUUCUCACAGAUUUUUAGCUAGCCAGAAAACCCCCAACAUAUAGAUUUUCUAUUUACUAUCCCUCCAUCCAGACCAUUGGUCAGAUGCGGUAAUGGUAUUUUUCAUAGUACCAUCUGUCAAAGUAUAUAUGACAGUUACUGACAUCAUGGAUGCACACAAAUGUUGUUUAUCUAACUCUACUGCAACUAGAGUUGUCACAAUCUUCCUCUUUCUCUUUCGAUCCAUGUCUACCCUGCCAUUAACAAUAUUGGCAAGAACAAAAUCAUAAUCUGUGACUUUCUUUUUUAUACUCAAACAUAAACUGAUUAUCAGAAAUUGCAGAACAUAGAAUUAUGGUGACAGAGAAGCACCACAUACCUGUUGGGUUGUUGUUGCUGCUGCUUAGACCCACUUUCAGCAGCUCCCUUUUGGUUCAAUAGCAAGUUUCAAUUUCAACUCAACUCUUAUGUCAAAAUUGCUUGCUACAACCUGCAAGAUAAGCAUAAUCAGCAGGAUUAAUACAAAGCAUUGUUGGCCAUGGCAUUGAAAGUUCUAAUACCAAUGAUGAGAACAGAGAGAAAUUAAAAAAAACAUUCUUUCUUAUACUCAAACAAAAACUGAUUAUUAGAUUAUAUGCAAAUUUAAUGUCAAUUCUCCAGACCACUUAAUGGCAUAAUUACUCGCUUGAAAUAGGAGAGAGAAAUACUAGAUAUGGAAUCACCUACUCCGCCAAUCAAUCUAAUUCUUGAUCUUCAUGAAUCGGAUCAAUUCAAAUACCCACGUCUUAAUAAAUACAUAGGAUGUACAGAAGACUAGCAAUACUGAUUUCAAUGCCAUGGCCUUUUUCCCUAUUUCCUUAACAGAGUUAAUAUGGGUUAAUAUUACAUGCACCCAUACAUCAUCAUAUUGGAUAUCAUGCUCUGUAACACCAGCUUGCAUCAUAUUCAACACAUUCCAAUUUGUCCAUACAUCAUUCAUGAUAAAAACACACUAUUCUUUUUGGUCUUUACAAAGAAAUUUUCGAAACAAAGGUACGAAACAAGAUAUAACACAAGUCAAAUUAAUUUGAAAGCAUAAGUUAUAUCCAUAUCACAUGUAGAUAUAAGUUAACACAGGUCUAUAGGAUGCUGAAAUAGAACAAAGUUCAAAACUUAAAAACAAAACUAAAAUAUGAUAUUCAAAAAUUCAAAUAUGACACAUCACUCUUAAAGAAUCUCACCCAGUUCAUCAUCACAAAAGUAAGAGACAAGUCUUCUCUGCAUUGCAAACAAUUCUCCCAGCAGCAUGUCAACUCAAUUGUUCAUUGCCUAUGUUUGAGAGCGGAGUUUCCUACAACCUAUUGGCAUGAAAGAGAAGAAACAGAAAUGAGGUUCAAACAUCAUAAAGCACAACCAAUUCACCUUCACAAUCAGUAUCAGCAACAAGCGCUAGAGGGAAAAGCUCACAAUCAACAAAAUUAUUGCAAGAAGAAACCAGGCAUGAAUACUGAUGAAUAACAUCACAAGUCUCAAAAACCCAGCAAAUUUUUUUUAUUUAUUCCAAUUCACACCUGCACAGCAUAAAACAGAGAAUUUAUUAACAAAACUUGCAUUAUGCUUCAAGCACAAACCCAUGUAGACAGACGCACCUGAACAGAGCAAAACCAUUCAUGAAGAAUACAUAUAUUACUAUUAAAAAUUAAAUUCUAUAAAGACAGUUGCAAAUAAAUCAAAAUAUAAAACCAACAAUAAUUGCUUUUGAACCCAACUCACUCAUAAGAGUUGGAAAAUAUCUCAUUCUUCUUCCGACAAACAAAAGAAUUAACAAAACACAAAAACCCACCCCCAUCANNNNNNNNNNNNNNNNNNNNNNNNNNNNNNNNNNNNNNNNNNNNNNNNNNNNNNNNNNNNNNNNNNNNNNNNNNNNNNNNNNNNNNNNNNNNNNNNNNNNNNNNNNNNNNNNNNNNNNNNNNNNNNNNNNNNNNNNNNNNNNNNNNNNNNNNNNNNNNNNNNNNNNNNNNNNNNNNNNNNNNNNNNNNNNNNNNNNNNNNNNNNNNNNNNNNNNNNNNNNNNNNNNNNNNNNNNNNNNNNNNNNNNNNNNNNNNNNNNNNNNNNNNNNNNNNNNNNNNNNNNNNNNNNNNNNNNNNNNNNNNNNNNNNNNNNNNNNNNNNNNNNNNNNNNNNNNNNNNNNNNNNNNNNNNNNNNNNNNNNNNNNNNNNNNNNNNNNNNNNNNNNNNNNNNNNNNNNNNNNNNNNNNNNNNNNNNNNNNNNNNNNNNNNNNNNNNNNNNNNNNNNNNNNNNNNNNNNNNNNNNNNNNNNNNNNNNNNNNNNNNNNNNNNNNNNNNNNNNNNNNNNNNNNNNNNNNNNNNNNNNNNNNNNNNNNNNNNNNNNNNNNNNNNNNNNNNNNNNNNNNNNNNNNNNNNNNNNNNNNNNNNNNNNNNNNNNNNNNNNNNNNNNNNNNNNNNNNNNNNNNNNNNNNNNNNNNNNNNNNNNNNNNNNNNNNNNNNNNNNNNNNNNNNNNNNNNNNNNNNNNNNNNNNNNNNNNNNNNNNNNNNNNNNNNNNNNNNNNNNNNNNNNNNNNNNNNNNNNNNNNNNNNNNNNNNNNNNNNNNNNNNNNNNNNNNNNNNNNNNNNNNNNNNNNNNNNNNNNNNNNNNNNNNNNNNNNNNNNNNNNNNNNNNNNNNNNNNNNNNNNNNNNNNNNNNNNNNNNNNNNNNNNNNNNNNNNNNNNNNNNNNNNNNNNNNNNNNNNNNNNNNNNNNNNNNNNNNNNNNNNNNNNNNNNNNNNNNNNNNNNNNNNNNNNNNNNNNNNNNNNNNNNNNNNNNNNNNNNNNNNNNNNNNNNNNNNNNNNNNNNNNNNNNNNNNNNNNNNNNNNNNNNNNNNNNNNNNNNNNNNNNNNNNNNNNNNNNNNNNNNNNNNNNNNNNNNNNNNNNNNNNNNNNNNNNNNNNNNNNNNNNNNNNNNNNNNNNNNNNNNNNNNNNNNNNNNNNNNNNNNNNNNNNNNNNNNNNNNNNNNNNNNNNNNNNNNNNNNNNNNNNNNNNNNNNNNNNNNNNNNNNNNNNNNNNNNNNNNCGUUCAGCAGCAACUCGGCGAGUCGACUCACCAUCCUCCCCAACUACCAACCAAGCCCCUCAUUCCAAAGGGCUCUGAAAACCUAAGAAAAAUCCAAACUUUACCAUCUUCGAAAACCCCUCAUGACCUCUCCAUAGCUCGACAUGUUAAAGCCCCUCAAAACCCCACCUCUCCUUCACCUACAAACCCUCCAUUCGCUAUUGGGUUCCCACCAUUUUAUCGAAUUCGCAUCAAGAACCAAGCUUUUCUCCCAACUCUCUCAUCCACCCUUCAAUCCUGCCCCAAACUUGGUGUUCCAAAUCCGUGACAUUCUGUGCGACCCUCAAUGGGAAAAGAGCUCAGAGCUCAGCUGGCUGAGCCCUAAGAUUAGAACCGAUCAUGUGUCAAAGAUUAUUGAGACCCACAAGAACACAGACUCGGCGUUAAGAUUCUUCUACUGGGUUUCUAAGAGACCUUCUUACCAGCAUGAUAUGAGCUGCUUCUCAUCAAUGCUGAAUAGGCUUGUGAACGAACGGCUUUUUGCGCCUGCAGACCGUGUGAGGAUUUUGAUGAUUAAAGCUUCUAGGAAGGAGGAAGAGCUUAAACGGGUAACUGAAUAUUUGAAUGAGAUGAGCCGACUUGGUUUUGAGUUUACAUUGUAUAGUUUUAAUACGCUUUUGAUUCAAUUGGGUAAGUUUGAGAUGGUUAGUAUAGCUCAAAAUGUUUAUACCCAGGUGCUAAGUAGUGGGAUUAAACCGAGUUUGUUGACAUUUAAUACAAUGCUCAAUAUAUUGUGUAAGAAGGGCAAGGUUCAGGAAGCAGAGUUGAUUUUGAGCAAGAUUUUUCAGUUUGAUAUGCUCCCGGAUGUUUUUACUUAUACAUCAUUGAUUCUUGGGCAUUGUAGAAAUCGUAACUUAGAUUUGGCAUUUGAGGUUUACGAUCAGAUGGUGAAGGCAGGUUGUGACCCGAAUUCAGUUACGUAUUCAACUCUUAUCAAUGGGUUAUGCAAUGAGGGGAGGGUGGAUGAGGCACUGGAUAUGCUUGAUGAAAUGGUAGAAAAAGGGAUUGAACCCACAUCAUAUACUUACACUGUCCCAAUUGCUUCACUAUGUGAGGCCGAUCGGCUGGUGGAAGCAAUUGGGCUUUUCAGAAGAAUGAGAAGCAGGGGUUGCCAUCCUACCGUUCAUACUUAUACAGCUUUGAUCAGUGGGUUGUCUCAGACGGGGAAACUCGAUGUUGCUAUUGGACUCUAUCACAAGCUUUUGAAGGAUGGUUUGGUCCCAAACACGGUUACCUUCAAUACAUUGAUAAAUGGAUUAAGUGAGACAGGAAGAUAUGACCUGGCUACGAAGAUUUUUUAUUGGGUGGAGAGACAUGGGACCUUGGCAAAUACCCAAACUCACAAUGAAAUCAUCAAAGUUUUCUGUUUGAUGGGUAACAUUAAUAACGCAAUGGCUCUUGUAAGCAAAAUGCUUAAAGUGGGACCAUCUCUAAAUGUGAUUACAUAUAACACACUCAUCAAUGGAUACCUCAGUGGAGGUCAGUUAAACAAUGCUAUGAGGUUGUUGGAUUUUAUGAAAGGGAGUGGAUGUGAACCAGAUGAAUGGACUUAUACUGAACUUAUUUCUGGGUUUUGCAAGGCAGGUAAGUCUGACUUUGCAUCUACUCUUUUCCGUGAGAUGGUAGAACAAAGAAUUAGUCCCAGUCAGGUUACCUACGCUGCUUUGAUUGCUGGAUACUGUAUGGAGGGGAAAGUAGAUACUGCAUUGUCAUUAUUUGAGCAGAUGGAGGAGAAGGGUUGCUGUCCAAGUAUUGAAACCUACAAUGCCAUUAUAAAUGGUUUGUCCAAAGAUAAUCAGUUUGUUAAAGCUGAGAAACUAUGUAAAAAGAUGGAAAAGCAAGGACUGGUUCCAAAUGUCAUUACCUACACGUCUCUAAUUUGCGGCCUCUGUAAAAGUGGCAGGACUGACCUUGCAUUCAAAAUCUUCCAUGAAAUGGAAGAACAAGGUUGCUUGCCGAACUUGUAUACAUAUAGCUCACUCAUGUUUGGGUUAUGUCAAGAGGGCAAGGCUGACAAUGCUGAGACGUUGCUUGAUGAAAUGGAAAGGAAAGGAUUGGCUCCUGAUGUGGUAACAUUUACCACACUCAUUGAUGGUUUUGUUAUGCUUGGUAGGCUAGAUCAUGCAUUCUUGCUUCUUAGGCGAAUGGUUGAUGUGGGCUGCAGGCCCAACUACCGAACAUAUGCCGUGUUGGUCAAAGGGUUGCAAAAGGAAAGUCAGUUGCUGACGGAGAAGGUUGUGGGGCUUGUGGCCCAACAUGAAGGAAUGUAUAGUUGCAGCUCUGGUGAAAGCUAUAACUUUUUUGAGGCGUUGUGCAAUCUCUUAGCUAGGAUGUCAGAGAAUGGAUGUGAACCUACUGUUGAUACCUAUGGUACUUUAGUGAGAGGCUUGUGUACAGAAGGCAGAUAUUAUGAGGCAGAUCAGUUGGUUCAGCAUAUGAAAGACAAAGGCCUGUGCCCCAAUAGAAGGAUUUAUCUGUCUCUAUUCUUUGUUCAUUGUACGAAUUUAAAAGUGGAAUCUGCGCUGGAAAUCUUUGGCUUGAUGGAAGAUAAUGGAUUUGAGGUUCACUUGUCAGCUUAUAACGCACUUAUUAGUGCUCUCGGCAGGGUGUGUCGGGCGGAAGAAGCUGAAACUUUAUUCAAAAGCAUGCUAGAAAAACAAUGGAAUACUGAUGAGAUUGUUUGGACUGUGUUAAUCGAUGGAUUACUGAAGGAAGGGCAAUCAGAUCUAUGCAUGAAGCUUCUUCAUGUUAUUGAAUCUCAAAAAUGCAGUAUCAGUUUCCAGACAUAUGAUAUCUUGGCCAGAGAACUUUCUAAAGUAAACAAGGGUAGGGGGAGUUCUCAAAUUGUUAACAGAGCAAGUGAUUUAAAGGGUGUACAUUGAUCAUGGUUUCUUUAUACACACAGAGAAAAAGGAAAUUCGUUAACUGAGUUCCAUUAAUGAACUAAUAAGAAAUUAUACUUUUUUCGCCUGAGGUGUGUAUAUAUUCUUUUGCUGUGACAACUUUGCAGUUUGAUCAUACAAUAAAUGGUAUGUAGAUGGCGCUUUGCCUUCAAACCUUGUUAACAUUCGUUUCUUUCUAUUACUGUCUUUGGUGAUUAUCAGAAUACUUUAGUUCUGUUGGCUUUUGAUUAAUUUGGUCGCAAUAUUUUCCCAAUAGUCACCAAGAAAAUUCGAUCGAUGGUUACUAAGUUUGUUAUCCUAUCUACAUGGAAGUGACAGGUUGUUUUCAGUAGAUAAUUGUCUUCAGUUGGAACUGAAAAUCUGGUGUGCAUGAAGCAGCAACCUAAGGUAGACAUGUAGGUUUGUUUAGACAAAGUAUAAAUGAAUGAUAUUUGCCAUUUAUGUGGGUUGAUGGUUGGUGCAGGACUGUGUGUACUGUUUGGCAAUUGAUUUAGGGGUUAGGAUAAUUUCUGCCUAUGCAGGCUUUUUAAUUACAUGGAUUAUCUUAUGUAGGAAGGCUUCUUAAUACAGAAAUGGUGAUGUGUGUGAUCAUCUAGGCAGGCUUCUUAAUUACAUGGAUAAUCUUCUUUAUGGUGCUCAUUUGGUUGGUUUUCAUUGUUUGACAUGCUUACACCAUAUUUAUUCUGGCUUAGUGUUUAUAAAAUGGAAUUGAGAGCUAGACAUUCUUGGCAUAUAUACUUGCAGGUGACACAGCUUGGACGUCCCCUAGUGGAAAGUUUCCUCUUUCCUCUGAAAAUUUUGACAAGAAGAUGUUAAGAUACACCUUGUUUGAUACCUAUGUUGGUUUAUUUCGCUGUCGUUACCUCAUACAAUUUUGAUUCAUUGUAUUCUUUACACCAAGAGUCAUUUAUAAAAUAUACCUCAGUUUUACAAUAGCAUAUGUUAUGGUUCAUUUAGUAAAUUUUGGUUUUAUGUUUUAGUUUUAGCUUUGAUGGUCAAAAUCAUCCUCUUCUUUUUUUGAUCUCUCUCUCGUCUCUUUUUUCCUUCUCUCUGUUAUUCUUUUCAUAAGAAAAAGAAAUAUAGAAACUAAAAGCAAAAAAUCUAACCAAAUUCCCAUGGGAUGGUCUCUUGAUUCUGUAUCGGCAAGUAUAACUAUUUUACUGUGAAUUAUCAACAAAAAGUAAUCUGCAGUUGCCACUGAUUUAAAUCAACUUAAAUAAUGUCUGUGAUUCAGAAUUCCAGGAUAAAUUAUGCUUUGUAGUUGACGUGAUGAAAUUAAUUUAAUUAGACAUUUUUGGUGUAGGGUUACUCAGGUCCUAAAUCGAGCUUAAUUUCGCACCAGGGCUCUUAGAAAGAACUACUGGCCAAGAUUACCGAACUUAGUCCACUUUUUGUAAUCUGCCUCUGAGUGUUCUAAUGCAAAUGCCAGUAUGUGUGGCCACUUUCCGAAUGUGGUGUUCAAUUUUUUUAAUUUUCCCAAAGGAUGAUAGUACUCUAAAUCUUUGUAGGGUUUUUUAUUGGGGUCGAGAUGAGCUCAGAGUUCGCUUUUUUGUCACUUUCUUUGUGUUUUGCUGAUCUUUGCCUAGUAUUUGCUGGGAUUCCCACUCCUUAAAUGAAGAAGGGUGGAAUGAAUAAAGGCUUGGUUCAUGCAUGAAGACCCUAAUAUUUCCUAUACACAAGUGAUAUUUUAUGGGUAUGAACUAUAUUGUGGAUCAAUCUAGAAAGGUAAAAACGCAUUCAUUAUGGUGUGAGUUCUAGUGUUCUCACCUUUCCUCCAAGUCUAAACCUAUACAAACCCCCGAGUAUGAGAAACCCUUUGAGUGAAAAGUAAAUUAUUAUGUGUAUGCAAGAGAGAAUUUUGUGGUGAAAAUCCCUGGAGGUGAUUUUGGAAGAAACUCUGGCUUCCCGGCAGUCAGUUCUUGUGAGAUUGUUCCUUUGUAAUCCUUGGUAUCUUCUAGUCCUGUCCACAAAAAAAUUCUUGUAAUUCCAUCAUUUUAUAUAGAAAAGAAGAAUUUGUUCCUGUCCUUCUACUAUUCAGUGGACAAAAGGCUCAAAUGCUAAGGAUGUAAUUCCAUUGUUUUUAUGUUUGAUGAUGUUUGCCUGUUUUGGCCAUACAAGGAUGGGAAAGUUUGAUCUUGAGUUUGCUAAUUGUCUUUUGGCAUUGUAUUAGGUGACUCUGGUUCUCAAAUGUAUAAUGGUUCAACCCCAGUUUCCAAUCCUAUCAUGGAACUGAAAAAUAAAUUUCUAAAAUUUUUGAUUGAGCCUGCAGUGUCUGAAAAAUUAUAACCACAUGCCACCAAUCUGAUUAUAUUCGUCCAAUUUGCAGUAGAUUUUCUAUCUCCGAACCUCUCUACUAAAACCCUGCAAUUAACUGAUCAUGCAUAUUGUAAGUAGUAAACUACUCUGAAAAUGAGGUUCUAAGUUGAAAUCUUUCUUCCUCUAAUAAACGAAUAAAAACUUAUAGUUCAUGAAAGGAUGAAAUUAAAAUUAGUUAGUUUAAAGAUGUGGUUGAAGCUAUAGAUAAAUGGAUCAAAAAAAUCAGUUUUUUUUUUUGGGUAAAUAAUAAAUAUACUAAACCGGGGUUGGGGAAAUUCUCAUAUCAAGAAGAAACUAAAGAGAAACCUAUCAGAACCACAUGGUGUGGUGCGGUUGGUAAAGUGUCACCUCCAGUUGACGAGUUACCUAUUGCCUCAUUAGCAUGGGUUCGAAACCCGUUAGAGGUACUUUGUGGUCAGGGAAAGCCGAAUCCCGAGCGGGGAUUAAUCUCAUCCUUUGAAUGCGAGGACAUCUCGUGGUAUUUAUCCAAAAAAAAAACAGAAGGGAAAAAAACCUAUCUGUAACUAAGAGAUGUGAGUUUCCAUGCAUUUCAGUAAAUAUAACAAAAUAGUUUUAAACUUUUGAAGAUUCUAGUUUCAUAAGACAUUGAUAUACUUGUCUAAUCGUAUCAUUUUCUCUCCAAAAAAAUCAAUAAUAAAUAAAUGAUAUUCUCCUACUACUGGUUUUUGGGUUCAAGUGCUUGGUUUUCAAGGAAGAAAACAAAGGGGGGCCAUCCACUACCAGAAAGGUUUAUGCUUUUGUUGAUUGAUUCUUGACAGAAUCUCUGGGUUGCUUGGACCCCCACAUGGCCUCCAUUAUAUGACUUGCUCUUUGUCACGCAUGAGCAAUUAUUGGCUCUUUGGUCAGUGUACCAUUUUGUAGUUAUACUCAAUCAUUUCAUACAAAAACCAUUAUCAUUUCAACUCUGCAAGCAUCUCUCAACUUUGUUAUUUUCUUUUCUUUUCUUGUUGCUGCAAAACCAUUCUGAGUUUUUGUUCUUGGGUUUUAUAAAGAAAUUAAUUUAAAAAUAUAAAUAAAUAAAUAUAUAUAUAUAUAUUUAUAACCCUUGUGAAUUUAUAAUAGUUGAAGCCUGAUUCAACUGGUUUGAUCACUUUCCACCAAAUAAAAAAUAAAAAAUCAAGGCCUUGCUCAGCACCAACGUUGCCCUUUUUCUCUGCUGCCAUAGGUCAACUACCAGUUUCUAACAAAACAACUCCAAAUCUGAGUAUAAAUGCUAAAAGGGCUCUGUUGUAUUCUGCAUAUAUUCUCUGUUUCCUUCCUCAUUUCAUGCAAACCUAUCCUAUCUCGUAGACCCCAAAAACAAGCAACAAUAAGAAUGGUAGGUCUCAGUUUUGGUGUGUAAAUUGACCACAAAACUUAAAGAUGUAAAUGACAAACAGAAAUGUAGCCUCUGGUUUAGUGAGCUUUUAUUAUAUUUCUAAUGCCAGCCCUUCUUCAGCUGCAUAUACAAAGUGCAUGAAAAAUGCAGGGCAAGGAAGGAUGCCUUUGUAUUUUUUUCCAUGUGCAAAGGGUCCCCAUAAAAAACAUCAGUACUUCAAAUAUAUUCCUUCUGAUCUUUGUCUUUUCUAUGCAUCCCCAUCUUCAAUUCAUGAACUUCAUUUUCAAAAGGCCAAGACUUUGAAGGCCAGGUUUCAUAGCAGGUACAAAAAAGAAUCAAUAUUCCCCCAAAGGCCACAUAAAGAUAAAUCAGAGUCAUCGAUGCCAACAGUGUCUUAAAAGACAACAAGACACAAAGCAUGACCUAACAUUUGAUGCUUCCAAACUCCAUUCCAACUGCUACUUCCAUUUUCAUUUUGGACUGUUUUUCUUGCACUCUUGCUUUUUCAAAAAGUGCUUUUGCCUACCCAUCCACCAACCCAGCCUUCUCUAGACUAGCCUUUAAAUCUUUCCCUUUGGAUUUUUGUUGCACAGCAGCCGAUUCUUAUUUAUAUUACAUCAUCCAAAAUAAACUACAAAAACCCAAUUUGCACAUUUUAAUGCCAAACUGAACACAACCCUUGUGCUAUAUAAACACAUCCAAUGCAUUUUGCCCCUUCAGCACCAAUUAUAGCAAAAAACAACAAAAACACCACCAACCCUUCAAGGCUUCAAAGUUCAUCAAACUCUGGUUUUCAAUGGGUAGGGAAAGUUCUGAUCCCACUGUGGUUAGUUCCUCCAUUGCUCUCUUACAAGAGAGGUUCAGACAGUUGCAGAAAGUGAAGGAGAGGAGGGAGGAGCAGCAGCUUCUGAAGAUGUUAUCUGAGACUGAUCAUCAUCAUCAAGGGGUUGGCUCAAUAAGGCAUUUUGAGCCUGCAAAAUUCUCUAUCCAAUCUGAUAUGGCCAGGCCAAGCUCUCCUGCAGAUCACUCACUCUCUCUGGGGCUUAAUUUGCAGACUAGACAAAUUGAUCAUUGUGCCAUGAAGACACAGCCUACCACAAUCUCAUGGCCCAACAAUACAACAGCUGCCUCAGCAUCAAGUGCUUCAAAAUGUUUUGACAAUUCAGACCUUGACACCUCUCUUCAUCUGUAGACAAAUCCUGGGUUCACUUUCUUCGUGGCUUCUCCAUGUUUCCUUUUUUUGUAUGUAAUAUUAGAAGAGUAUGUAACUAAUAUAACUAAUGUUUAUUCAUCUGAAAUAAUGAGAUAAAUAAAAGAAGAAAUGGAGCAGCAAUAUGCUAGCUGCUCUUCUCUUCAAUUUUUUGGCCCUUUUGUUGGUUUUGCUUAACAACAUUAACAAAUCAUGGGGACUAUAGAGAGAUUCAUAAUCAAGAAAAAUGGAUUGGGAGGUGAUGGGUUUCUUUUGUUCUGUUAAAAAAAAUAAUAAAAACAACUUCUGAAGAUUCAUAUCAACAUAUAUAUGUUCUUUUCUUAUAUUGAUUUUGAGUUUGUGAAGACUGAUGGUGAUGAACAAAAAAGUCAGCAAGGCCUGCUAGAUUCCUCAUAAACUUACCAUGCAGAUGUACUCAGUUAGAAAUUCCUAACACCACUGAUUGUUUAUGCUUUCUAUGGAUUACUUUCGGAGCAAAUACUUGGAACCAGAUAUUAUUAUUAGAGUUCUAGCUCUUGCUAGUGUAUUUUUAAUGAACCUUUCCUAUAAUAAGCAAAUUCUCAUAGCAACAUGGUCAGAUCUUUUAGGAAAAUGAAGUGCUAAUAAAUUGAAAUCUCCUGAUAACCAAGUUGUGAAGGUUAAUUUUCAUGUAUAUGUUAAGAAUAGGAAUAGCCUUUGAGAAAGAGAAAUAAAUCAAGGCAUAGUGAAAUUUCUAUUUUGUUAUAUUGGAAGUUAUCAUACUUUAACCUAUUCCAAAAGCCAACGGGCUUUAGCCCAGUAGAAAAUGAAUUUCACUUGUAGACCAGUGGUCUCAGGUUCAAAUCCUUAUGACACCUUAGUAUUGUGCGUGCCAUAUUUGGCUCUCUCCCUACUAUCGCUUGUAUUAAAAAACAUAUUCAAAAAGAAAGCAACUAUUACUGAGUCUAACUAGGCCGAGAACAGUUGUUAUUACUGAGGUGCUCCCUCUUAUUACUGAGAUUUUAGUUGAUGAUGCUUGUAUUUUGGCUAGGCCUAAAAUGUUUGCUAUUUAUUUCUCCACUUCAAUUUUAUCCACUUACACUCCUUUUUUAGUUAUAAAAUGGAGUGUAAGUGGAUAAAAUUGGAGUGGAGAAAUCACCACUCUUAUAUUUUUAAGUAAUAAUCUAAAUUAUACUAAAUUAAUUUAAUUUAUGAGAAUAUAAAUUCGAACUUGGGGAUUCGAUUUUUUUUUUUUUUUAAAAGUGAAAUAAAAAAUUUCAGUCACAAAUGAUUGACCCAAACUGAUCUGCAAUCUGGGCAGGGUAUUUAGCUGAGACUAAAUGAGUUAUUGGGCUCAUAUCAAAAGCGCCUACAAACCUAACCACUCAAAAUACACAAUAAUAGAAAAAUUUUAGUUUCAUCAUUUUAUUGAAGUACCAAAUUGCCCUUAUCGUCUCCAGAACCUUCCCAAACCCCCUCUCCGCGUCUCUCUAUCAGAAACCCCAACUAAAACCCUAACACCUCUCUCCACUCUUUAUCCCUCUGUCACUCACAACUCAUUGCUCUCUCUCCAUCUCUUGGCCUUCGCCAUCCAUCUAUCUAUCUCAAACCAAUAUGCAUAGGCUUCCUCGACGCUCCGUCUCCGCUAUCCUGCGCCACGGCGGCGCACGUCACCGGACCACCGCUGCUCCAAUCUCCUGCGCUUCUACCCACUUGGGUUCGGUGCGUUCUCUAUAACUCUUGGGUUUAGCUUUUUACGCUUUGAGAAAAUGAUUAUAUAUAAAAAAUCAUCUGAAUUUUUAUGUGUAUUUGUGUAGGUGGGAGAAACUGAUGCCAAAGUGAGAUGGCACUCAGCGUUGGCCUCUGGGAAGUUUAACCCUUGCAAACCCACGGCUCAGUUUGCCUCCAACAAUGGACUGUGCUUUGGCAACCGGUUUGAGUCCACUGCUGCAGCCUCUGAUGCAUCGGCCGAGCCUCCCGCUGAGAGAUUCGAGUAUCAAGCUGAAGUAAUGUCAUUUCACCUGUUGGGUAUUUUUUAGAUUGAUUUUGAGGAUCAAUGGUUUUGAGAGUGUUGUUUUCUUCAUGGUUACAGGUCAAUCGCCUCAUGGACCUCAUUGUUAACAGCUUGUACAGUAACAAGGAGGUGUUUCUUAGAGAGCUUAUCAGGUACCUAUUUGGUAUAUCUGAUAUUAUGUAGUAUUGAUUGUCAUUUCUUUCCUAUUGGGUUACCUUGAGAGUCCGAAAAUUGCGAUUGGACAGGUGGAGCCUGAAUUGAUCAUACAUUGGAAUUUGAGUUAACAGUACUAAACACACAUUGGAAUUCAAGAAAUAGUUGUUGUGUUUGAUUUAGGUGGCACUAAGUUAUUUAGCGUAUGAUAUGUUGACAUUAUGAAUUUUUCUGCAGCAAUGCAAGUGAUGCCUUGGACAAGCUCAGGUUUCUCAGUGUUACGGAGCCUGAUCUUUUGAAGGGUGGAGGUGAUCUUGAUAUCCGUAUCCAGACUGAUAAAGACAAUGGGAUCAUACAUAUCAUGUAAGCUUAACUGGUUUUUACAGUAUUUUCUUUCCCUUAAUGAUUCUUCUUCACCAUAUCAAUGGUGUGGUCUUUCCCUUUGUGUGAAGUGAUUCUGGUAUUGGUAUGACUCGGCAAGAACUUGUUGACUGCCUGGGAACAAUUGCACAAAGUGGGACCGCAAAGUUCUCAAAGUUGUUGAAGGUAUAAUAAGUCUUUGAGAUAUUGUAAGUUAUUUGAAUUUGAGAUCCUGCAUUGAGGUAUUUUAUAUGCUUACAAAUUUGGUUUAUCAGGAUAGUAAAGAUGCGGGUGGUGACAACAAUUUGAUUGGUCAGUUUGGUGUUGGCUUUUACUCGGCAUUCCUUGUUGCUGAUCGGGUAAGUUCUUAACCAGAAAACUGUGAGCUCCUACGACUUUUAAUCCGUUGCUUUCUUCUUUCAGUCAAGUGGCUGAAUAUAUAAUAGUGUUGGGGUAGUCCUCCCACUCCCCAAGUUUCUGCCUACCCUUUCCAUUAAGAGUUGAAACUUGUGUAUAGAAAUAUCUGAACUGCUCGAUUGUUAUGCACCUCCUGUGGGUUGUAGGUUGUCGUCUCCACAAAGAGCCCAAAAUCUGACAAACAAUAUGUAUGGCAAGGAGAGGCAAAUGCUAGCUCGUAUACAAUUCAGGAGGAGACUGACCCUGAGAAGCUUAUUCCUAGAGGAACCCGCCUGAGCUUGUAUCUCAAGGUCAGUGUAAAACAUUUUUUAACUUAUGAAUAAAUAAAUAAAACCCUGUAUAAUUUGCCUAUGACUUUGAUCUCCAAGCUAAUUCUUUAUCUGUCUGGCUACUUUCAGCGUGAUGACAAAGGUUUUGCUGUUCCAGAACGGAUACAGAAGCUUGUGAAAAACUAUUCACAGUUUGUUUCUUUUCCUAUAUACACUUGGCAGGAAAAGGGGUACACUAAAGAGGUAAGAGUUUUUUCCCCAUCUUCUCAAUGCUUGUACUUUUGUCAUUGGUUUUGUAUGUUGUAUGUUCAGGGAAAUUAUUGGGGACGAUUUCAUUUCAGGUUGAGGUUGAUGAGGAUCCAGCUGAAUCCAAAAAGGAUGGAGAAAAUGAGAAAACCGAGGUACAAAAGAAAAAAACGAAGACUGUUGUUGAGAAAUACUGGGAUUGGGAGCUCACUAAUGAGACACAACCAAUAUGGGUGAGCCUUAACAGUUUCUUCUUUGUAUGUUUACUCUGCUUUUUAUGGCAGUAACUUUUUUAUGCUCACAUGAUUCCAAUUGAUAUGUACAGCUUCGCAAUCCUAAGGAAGUCACUACGGAGGACUACAAUGAGUUCUACAAGAAAACUUUUAAUGAAUACUUGGAUCCACUAGCAUCUUCGCAUUUCACAACAGAGGUAUUUUAUGACUAUUAAGAUCCUCAACAAAUGCCACUUGUAGUAGAAUUUUGAAGUAAAUGUUGCAUAUUUCUGUAUUAUCACAUGAUGUCUGCUUCUUGAGUUGGAUAAAAGUUGUGUGGAGUUGACAAUAACUAAGUUAACUAUGGGUUUUUUUGUUGUAGAAUUUUUAUAAUUGCAUAUUUGUGGUAUAGUGGCAACUAUCAUGAUGUCUUCUUAAGUUGGGUAACAAAUGGGUGUUAUCUAAAUUUGAAUGACAAUUGAAAAUACAGCAUUAGUGCCUGAAGUUAGGAUGAAAUGUGUAGUUCUGUUUGACAAUGUACUCGUACUUAAUUGCUCAUAUAUUCUGCUUUUAAGUUGAAGAGGUUGGUAUUUGCAGGGUGAAGUAGAAUUCAGGUCUAUUCUGUAUGUUCCAGCGGUUGCUCCUAGGGGGAAGGAUGACAUAGUCAACUCCAAGACAAAAAAUAUAAGCCUCUAUGUGAAAAGGGUGUUCAUUUCAGAUGAUUUUGAUGGAGAACUGGUAAACAAAAUAAAGACAUUUUUACAACAGAGUAAUGCAUGGUUCUCUUAAAUGGAAGCUUAUUGGUUCUAAUUGCUUUUACAUUCCCUUUUGAGUAGUUCCCUCGAUACUUGAGCUUCGUCAAAGGUGUUGUGGACUCAAAUGAUCUUCCACUCAAUGUUUCACGUGAAAUUCUUCAGGAGAGUCGUAUUGUAAGUACAUCUAGCACACUGUCGUUUUAACCUUUAGGUUCCAAUUAGUUUACUUUAAACAAACUGUUGUUUCUGUGAUCUACUUGAAGGUACGGAUUAUGAGGAAGCGCUUGGUUCGGAAGGCCUUUGAUAUGAUCCUGGGAAUAUCCAUGAGUGAGGACAGAGCAGUAUGUUUUUGCUUCUGUUUUCUUAUCAUCCUUUUUUGUUUGUAUGUUUUCAGUCUUGUGGAAUUAUGGUACAAAUUUCAACAUCUUGGCAAUUACUCCUCAGCCAUGUCUUGUUCCUGAGUCCUGUAGCUGUGACUCUGAAUCCUGAUGUUUUCCAACCCCUCUGCUGCUUGGGGUAGCGAAUGAUAUUGCCCCUCUACGUUCUUUAAAGAUAUCCUUUGUUGUUUAUUGCAGGAUUAUGAAAAGUUCUUCGAAAAUUUUGGAAAGCAUUUGAAACUGGGUUGCAUUGAAGAUCGUGAAAAUCAUAAGCGUAUUGCUCCAUUGCUUAGAUUUUUCUCUUCCCAAAGUGAGGAUGUGAUGAUCAGCUUGGAUGAAUAUCUUGAGAACAUGAAACCUGAGCAGAAGGGUAUCUAUUACAUUGCUUCUGAUAGUGUAGAAAGCGCAAGCAAUACACCAUUCCUGGAAAAACUUCUUGAGAAGAAUUUCGAAGUAUGUUUUGCCUCUCAAAUAAUUUGAUAUAUUUGAUUAUGCUGUUUUAUGUAUUUAUGGAUGAUUUUUGUUGUGCUAUUCUUGUAGGUGUUGUACUUAGUUGAUCCAAUUGAUGAGGUUGCCAUCCAGAACCUGGAAUCUUACAAGGAGAAGAAAUUCCUUGAUAUUAGCAAGGAAGAUCUGGAUUUAGGUUAGUUCAUUGGAGCCCUUUGAGUUGAUCCGAUUGACUUGACAUUCUUGCUUCUUUGAUUAUGUUUCCUUUGCUAAGGAAAUCUGAUAUGUAUGAAUGACCUUUCUGCAGGGGAUAAGAAUGAGGAAAAAGAAAAGGAGAUUAAGCAGGAAUAUGGCCAAACAUGUGAUUGGAUUAAGAAACGUUUGGGUGACAAAGUUGCCAGUGUUCAGAUUUCAAACCGUCUUAGCUCGUCACCCUGCGUUCUUGUAUCUGGGAAGUUUGGUUGGUCUGCCAACAUGGAGAGGUAGAGUCCCUCUGUUGCUGAAUACAUAUGUCAAGAAUUCAUAUUACAGAACCUGAUUGUUAUCCUCUAAACUUGUGAUUGGACGUUUCCAGGUUGAUGAAGGCACAAACUGUUGGUGAUACUUCUAGCCUUGAGUUUAUGAGAGGCAGGAGGGUGUUUGAGAUUAAUCCUGAGCACCCAAUCAUUCAAAACUUGAAUGUACGUUUGCACGGAGAAAGCUACUCUCCCCAACUCUCCCAAUCUUAGAAGACUAUGGUUUUAGAAAAUACAGUAACAUUUUAAUCCUGGUUUGCAGGCUGCAAGCAAGAUCAACCCGGAUGAUGAAGAUGCUAUUAGAGCUAUUGAUCUUUUGUAUGAUACAGCUUUGGUGUCUAGUGGUUUUACCGUGAGUAUUCAAGCUUGCUUCACAUCUCUUGUUAAAACUGCUCUUAGGAUUAUAUGAUCUAUAGCAACCAUUCUUCAUUGUAACUUGACCAUUAAGAAAUCCUAGGCCCUGAAAUGAAAAUGCACUUGACCUCGUGGUUUGGUGAAAAUGAGAAUUGCUUUUUUGGAUUUGAAGGUGCCACUAUUUGUUGGUUUGAGACACUAACGCUACAGACA